Molecule: long non-coding RNA, 58776 nt
Filed under: Setaria italica (foxtail millet)
Lineage: Eukaryota; Viridiplantae; Streptophyta; Magnoliopsida; Poales; Poaceae
Description: long non-coding RNA (SITA_LNC007402)
Source: RNAcentral
AACGAUGGCCUCGGCCGCGAUGGGCGCGGAGGGGGAGGUGUCGGCGGCGAGGUUGUUGGCGCCAAGGAGCUCGGCGAGCGUGGUGGUGGUGUUGAAGCGGGCGGCGAGCCCCGCGUAGGUGGUGGCGUUGGGCACCGCGUAGCCGAUGGCGGACUGGCAGGUGGCGCCUGGCGUGGCGCAGGUGAAGUUGGCGGCCGAGGCGGGCGCCGCGAAGAAGAGGAACAGCAGCGCGGCGGCCGGCACGGUCAGGCGGCCGGCGAGCGACGGCAUGGUGGCCGGGCUGGCCGCGGCGAGGAGAAAGGUUUGGAGGCUUUGGGAGGGGAGGUUUGACCGGAGUGUUGACGCGGGAGGCGGAUUGGAGGUUGCCCGGCAGCUCAAGUCAGGGGGUUAAGGCGGCUUAAAUGGUUGCGCUGUGGGCCCCUCUCCAUUUCUCCGUUUGAUUUCCCUCGAAGAAAAAAAUUUGGAUCGUACUGCAAAAUCCAUUGAAGUUUCAGCGAUCGGUCUCCAUCGUAGAAAUCUGCUCCAACAGGGAAAAUGUGAUGACUUUCCAACGGGCAAGAAAAAGGCCAAGGUGGACUGCCAGCUUCCGAGCUUGAAGAAAUGCAGGCAGCAAACUAGCAAAGCCUCGUUCCCGGGUUCCGACGGGCGUUGUCGACCGACGACCAAGACAGACUGGCUGGGGCCUGGCCUGGACGCGCAGGAAAAUGGCAAGUCGCCCACGACGCGAGGCCGACGUCUCCGCGCCGGACACCAGACGCGUGGGUACUCGAUGCCAUGGAAAGCGCUUUGUCCACUCCCAUCGGGACUAGGACAAACGAGGCGCGUGCAGGUUUAUGGACGAAUCUAAUCAACAUCAGGCUUAUAGCACUGGGAAAUAUACUCACGAGGCAUUUCAUUAUUUCACAUGAUUCGCCAAGCAAAAUUCCCUGAACCUAGAACGUGGAAGGGGAAUUAGGGAAAGCAUACAAAAGAAUGAAUGAACCAAUGGAGGCAGGGAAUGGGGUCGAUCAACUUCCUACAAAAAAAAUGUUCCCUUACAGGCAAAAUUUGGAGCCUAGAAAGAUAAAAUUCCUUUGCGCUGGCAAUCUAAUUCACUCCAGAGGGGAGGAAGGAGUCAUGCCAGGGGGAUCAUCGUUCAGUGGGGGUGCGGAGCUGAAGUCGAUGUUCGGGAAUACUCCGGGUGGCCUCUCAAGAGGUUGUAUGGACAAUAACUGUGUCGAGUCCCCGACGACAUCGGCCCAUCCAUAAUGAGGCUCGGCCCUGGCUCAAAAUGAGUGCAAGUCGAUGAGAUUCAUAUUCAACCAAUCAUUGGUCAAAUUGGUACCAAGGAGAUGUUUAAAAGCAUCAGCAGAACAAAUAUCUUACUCAUAGUAUGUCUCCUCAUCGACUACCAAAUCCCAGCUCUCGCCAGUUGUGCUCUUUCCAUACUUGUGGACUUUUCUGAAAUCCACGACAAAUAUGGUUUAGCAGUGAUCCACUGGUAGUGACAAUAUAGUCAACUUCAAAACAAUUUACUACUGGUAUUAACAUCCAAGAUAAUAAUCAUUUGUAUGGUGAUGCUAGGAAAAGUCUGCAGUCUAAAUACCAAUAAGAUGUUUCAAAGUCUACAGUCUAAAUGCAGUCCAAUUCCAGUCAAGUGUUAGACCAAAACAUUAUUAUAUCACUUACCCAUUACCAAAGUGUUCUUCUCCCCAAGUCCUUGACCAGCCUGAAAGUUUCAAUACCAAUGUAAGUAGCCAGUACAUAUUUUUCCAAGUAGAUUAUGACACUUUAUAUCCCAAUCAUAAAGUAGUGGUACCAGCACAAUCACAAGGAAAGAUAAAAAGGCUCGGAAAAAGAAGAGGUGGAAGUGAAGCAUAUCUCAAAAGUAACAUUUCACAAUGUAACAAAUAUACACGUGUGAAAGGUACAUGAUUUAAAGGUAUGCUGUUGUGCUGUCAGAUUUCAAUACAUCUUUGGACGUUGAUGUGGUCUUGACCCAUUUGGCACAAAAUCCAACUAGCAUAAAAAAACAUAAGGUGGCCAAUCUAGAUGAUUUUUCUGUCAUGAUGCUCAUAGUAAAAAAAUGAUUGACAGAUGCUAACACAUUAUGUUCGGAAAUGGAGGGGCUACUGUAUCUUAAUAACUAGCAUGCAUAUGAGAAAAAUGCUGUGCAUAUAAAGUAUUUAGUGGUAAUGGUUCUUACGUCCACCGCCAGGAGAUACAUGCCAUGUCUCCCCUUGUCGAGAACCAAUUCCUGCAAAGAAUUUUUCUUCCCACUUAUCCCCCCAUUUAGUGCCUAAAUCUGUCUCAGCCCACUUAUCUGUCCUGUAAGAACAUUCAUGCAAUGAAGGUGUUAUCAACCACUGGCAGAGUGGCAGUCAAGGAGAAAGUAUAUGUAACAAUAAACAACUUCCCAAUAUCGUGCAGAACUGCAGACAGAAAAUGUAAAGACAGGGCAUCAAUUUGUCCCUCAGAGGAACAACUCACUAUCAAAGUAUCACUACGAACUAUGUACUGGUGUCAAGCGUACAUUUUAGUGCAAUUAACCAAUUGAUAUGUGAAUCUACAUACCGAUAAACAACAAGAAAUUCUCUGUUGUAAUGAAAGGGUAAUUUGGAAAUUGUGAUUUGGAAACUAAACAUUCAAGAUUAAGCACAACACCGGCUGUACACGCAUCUUCUAUGACCAUAUAGCUUAUGCUGAAAAUAUGAAAAAGGCUCACCAUUUCAAUACAAAUCCACGGCCAUCAUAAUGUUCACCCCACCUCUCCCACCAAGACUGCUCGUUUAACCUUCCAUAUUUGUGAGCACCUUUUUCUGUCCAGCCUUUGGCAUCAUAUUUCUCCCACCUAGUAGAAAAUAUUUAUGGAUCAAAAUGAACUUUACAGACUUUCAACCAGAACCAUGAAAAAAAAACAAUCCAAUUCUCACCAUUUCUCAUACCACCCAGCAUUUUCUGCACCUGAUUUUGCUUGUUUUUCAGCACUUCUCUCUAUUCUUGCAAGAUUGCUGUAUGGGACAAGGCAACCCGUGUCAGUAUCUCUCAAGUGGGAUUGUUCUAACCUUGAAUGGAUGUCAAAGAAGAAACUGACACUGUGAGACAUGGCAGGUAUACUGUAAGCUAAGGUUGGGCUAGAUCAUCAGGUAUAGUGACAUUUACACCAAUGGAUUGGCUGGAUUUCCCAAUAGGGAACAUGAAUAAUGAUGUGGCAGAUCAUUUGUCUGUGCAAGAACAUUGCACCUAAAUUUCACACCUGAUGAUCUAAAUAACAUGGGUGCAUAGCCAUGGACGGUGUUACAAAUGCAAAUAGGUGGUAACAAUCUGCUUGUACUUAAAAAUGAAAAGUUCUCAGUAGAGCUACAGAAUCAACAUCAUUCUCAAAGUAGACUUAAAACAAGAAGGCCAGAUGGACCUCCAUAUGUAAUCUUGGUUAUAAGAAAGGUCUUCAUCAAUGUUUUGUUCUUAGGUUUGCAAUGGAGACUAAAUCUCAUGUCUUACCCGGGUAGGACUGGUAUACUUAAUAUAUAUGAUUUUACAGAUUAGUUAACUUACCUCCAUUCAUCUUGGUACAAAACUUCCUUCCAUUUUUCCCACCAAGAGUCACCUAAAGCAUUCUUCCCAGAUUUCUCGGCACCUAAUGUUUAUAGUUGUAUUUUAUUGAAAAGUCAGUCCCAGCAGAAGCGAGCAUAGAUUGAAAAAAAAACAAAACAAAGGCAUUCAACAUAGCUAAAACAACAAAAUUUGUGUGCUGAACUGCUAAUGCACAAUAAUCAUGUUGACUGAACAUUUCAAUAAGCAUACAUUGAAAGAAAACAAAAACAAAGUGUUCAGCAUAACUAAACAACGUUAUUUGCGUGCUAAUGCGCAAUAACCAUGCUACCUGCAAUUCAACAAUCAUGAAACUUAUAUACCAUCCUAAAUUAUCAAAGCACACAUAUGCUACAAAGAGGCAGAGCCUCCAUUAUAAAAGAAUACUUUGCAUACCUAGUUCCUUAUAUCCAGUCCAGUCACUUUUCUCCCACCACUGCCACAUAUAAUAAAGUUAUUAAGAUUUGCAGUAAUUAAAUAACAAGAUUACUGAACUCGCAAGCUUCAGUCGGUCAUUGAUGACAAAGAAUGGUUCUUUGUCCAGCACUUCAGCAAUUUGUCAACACAGUUAGGUGUCUUGUGUCUAGCUUUGGGAGGUUAAGGUUUCAAGCCUCCAUGCUUGAUUGAGUACAGUGAUGUUGAAGCUAGCAGAGAAUAUCCAUGUGCCAGUGCCCAUGCUAGAGUUUUUUUAGUGAAAUGAAAUAAUUACCUUAAUUCAAAAGGUAAUGCCACAAACUAAAAACUAGCUAUUAAAAAUAAAAGGUACAUUAACAGUUACACUAUAGAAGCAAUAGUUAUAAUGCUAGUAGAGUUUGUAAAUUGUGCUUAAAGUUGACCUGCUACUCAAGCAAAUCACUAAAAAUAAAGGUAAGAUCUAAACGUAGAGCACCCAAAGCCACACACCAAUUAUUUAAAGCUGCAAGCAUGUUGUAAAGGCAACUGAACGAGGACAGAUAUGAUCCAUCAGGAUAAGUAAAGAGCCAAAAACAUACAGUCUCUUUCCAUUCUGUGGAACCAUCAUGGCUCUGUCCUCCCAUUCUUGCCCAUCGGCACCGGAACCCAUUCUCGCCGAGAUCUUCUCCACUCUCCCUGUACCAAGUGCUUCCAUCUUCGUUCGUUCCGGACUCCUUGACUGCUUCAUCCAGCAAGUUGAUUCCCCACUCCUUCUCACUAGCAAUACCAGUGUCUAUAAGGCAGGUGCCAAACAAACACAUGCAUUUCCUUAGCAAAGCAAAGACCUAAAGUUUGGACUCUACAAGUGGGAGCAUUUCAUUUUGGACUAAACCAACAUUUUACUCUUAGGAUUGAAAAUGUCAGCAAGGAGCCUACCUCUCUUGGGCGGGGUAUCCCGGGAUUGAGGGGCCGGUCCCCUCUGCGUGCACCGCGGAUAGAAAUCUUGUUGCUUGAAUUGCCUUCUAGAACUAUACUAGUAAACAAUAAAAUGCGUGUUAAAAUUCCAUUCCCUAAGCAAUGUGCAUUGGACUACAAUAUCUGAAGCUUCUGAUAAAAGCAUUGGCACAUUAACUUGUCAUUACGCAAUCUAAAUCAGGAAAAAGAAACACCACAUGUCGGAAUGAUGCAAUCGACUAGUAACUGUAAAAUGCGGGCACACUCCACAAGUCCUUAGAACUAGAAAAAAAAUCCCCUAGAUGCGACGUGGCCAGCAGCCGUCCCGCGUACCGAGGUGCAGGGAAGGGGAGCGGAGGCAUGGCGGUGAGGCUGGCGCGCCGCCGGCCAGGUGCGGCGGCGGAUGGCUUGUUCCCAUCGACGCGCCACUCCUCGGCGCGCUCGGGCGCGGCCGCGGCCGCCCUGGAGAGGCGCCUCCGCGGCUCCGGGUCGGCCCCGGCGCAGCAGCACCGGAUCGCGGCGCGCCGUCGCGGCGCGGGGCGGCGCGGCCAUGGCGCCGCCCCCCUCGCCGUGGUCAGAUCGAACGGCGGCCACGCGAGGCCCCUGGAGCACGCGGCCAUCUUCUCAUGCCACGGCGAGGGCGGGGCCGUGGGGGGCGGGCGCGGCGGCCGGUGCCGGCGGGUGGACGGGCCGGUCGUCUAGCAGUGGCGGGAGGAGGGAGGCGGAGGGGAAGGUUUUAUACGAAUGGUGGGGCGGAGGCAGGCGGUGCGCAUCGCUGCUGCUCCGGGCCAACGAGAGCGACUGAUAAGGGUUCGCUCCCGCGGGGCCGAGGAGAGAGAGACGGGACAAGUUUCUAUGGGUUUUAUUAGAUCUUCGGAGAUGCUUUGGAUGGAGGCCGGGAAUGGCAAGGGAGCAUGAUAUGGCAUGAUAUGGGGCUGGGAGAGACGGAAGGAGGCGGGGAGACGGAGGAGGGAGAAGGCUGGGGUGGCGGGGCCCACAUGUCGGUGGUCGAUUCAGAUCGAACGGAGUCUGUGGCCUGUGCUGUAGGAGUGGGACCAUUCACGGAUGCGACUCUAGCUGUGGCUGCAAAGGCGGACAUUUCCAUUUUUUUCAAAUUAUAUAUGAUUUUUUACUAUGGUGAAUUGAAAUGAUACGAUAAUACAAGUUUAAGGGGAAUGGAAACGUCACAAACUCCAUCGUCUGUCAAUAUCCACGUCUCGUAAUAGCACUAGACGAUAUUGUAUUCGUAUCAACACGAUAUCAUUACCGUUUUGUGUUGUCACGAUCGACUCACAUCGUGCUAGCCACGGCCUUGCAGCUAGCCAUUAUGCUGAAGUGAGGAUCACAUUUAUGAUAUGUGAAUUAAUAGUGAUUCGGAAAAUUCAACUAUAUUCUAAAAACUAAUUGGUUCGUCUGAGCCCGUGGUUGCAACAAAGGGGGCGUUUUCUUCCCGUGUCUUAUUUUUAGCACGUGUCACAUCGAAUGUUUAGAUACUAAUUAGGAGUAGUAAACGUAGACUAAUUACAAAACCAAUUACAUAAGUGGAAUCUAAACGGCGAGACGAAUCUAUUAAGCCUAAUUAAGCCUAAUUAUUCCAUCAUUAGCAAAUAUUUACUGUAGCAACACAUUGUCAAAUCAUGGACUAAUUAGGCUUAAUAGAUUCGUCUCGCCGUUUAGAUUCGUCUUAUGUAAUGGGUUUUGUAAAUAGUCUACGUUUAAUACUUCUAAUUAGUAUCUAAACAUUCGAUGUGACGGGUGCUAAAGUUUAGCAAGUGGAAGAAAACAGGCCCAAAAGCUAAUCUCGGGUUGUUUUGUCGACCUUCUUAUUGAAUAAAGUUAUUUGAGUUAUUUGAGUCUAGGAGACAAUAGGAAAGUGAAGGACAUGUAGCCCUCUAAUUGUAGAGAUGCAAUGCAAAUGUACUGUAUGUACGAAGAUGAAGCACUUUGGCUGUGGCUUUGUGGGGAUGGAGCGAGAAAACGGGUGACUUCUGGAAUACUAUUGCAUCUUCUCCGAAAGGAUAGAGCUGCGAUAAGAAAAUUGCCUGGUGUCGGAGCAUAUCAACUUGCCACGCCUACCAGAAAACCUCGCCCCUUGUCCUACGGUGCUUGUGUCUCACGUACCCUACAAGUUAUUCCUUCGAGAACAACACACCAGUGAAUUGAAAAGUAAACAAUGCCUAGUCCUACUCGGAUCGACCAAUUGGUUACGUUGUUACCAGUUACCACAACUAAGCGUAACCACUGUAGUAAAUUUUACCACAACAAAGUAGCAUUUGAAAUUUUUUGUUUACAAGCAAUUAGUACAUUUGUUUUUCAGUUCAUGUAAGCGAAAGCAGAGACUGUACAUCGUUUACCACAUGCCUCGCCUAGGUACGCCAGUAGAGCAGUGCUUUGCACUUUGCAGUGUCACAUCUGACGUGGUGCCACGCGACGCGGAACAUGUGGACAAGACCGUACUCCACCGACGUGGCGUCCACCCGGGCGGCUAAAGCCGGAUCAGGAUCAGGGCCUCGGCACAGUUACGUGGAAAAAGCGCCGCCUCCCCGCGGCCACGGAUCGUCCACGUCGACGCCCCGGAUCAGGGGAAACACGGGGACACCCCACACGUGGCAGACAAGCCGCGCCGCGCGUCCAGGUGUUCAGGUAACUAGUGGCUCAGCUUCGUCGACGAGCCGGCCGGACACGCCGGGGCCCUGCGCUUUUCACCGGUCGCGACUCGCGGCGCGAGCGGAUAAGUGUUCACGCCCGGGAGCCUCCUCGGAGAGACCGACGGCCAUGCCGCCGGCCGUGGAAGCCGCGGCGUGUUUUUUUCUUCCUUUCUCGUCCUGGGCUCUCUCGGCAGCGGAUAAGAGCAUCGACUGCGCGCCGUGACGACAUGUUUUUGUGACCGGGUGUUUUGGAACGUACCGGCGCUUGGCUGGGGUGCGUUCAGGAAGCAUCUGCUCUGCUGUGUUGUCGCGGGAAAAGAUGUGGAAUCGUUCGUGUGGACGUGAUGCGGCCUUUGGCCUCAAGCGUCAGUUGGGGAUUUCGCGAUCGUUUGCGUCGGUGCCACCGUCGCAGAGUUCACUUUCGCUCUGGUCUCGGCACUUGCGCUAGCUUCGUCGAGAAAGAGACGUGGCGUGGGAGAUUAAAAACAUUUCUUUGCCGAAUUUACCCGAGAUAUGUUCGAGCCAAUUCUGUUAAGCUGGCGUCUACAACUACCUGCGCUUCUUCCGGUCCUUCACGCGCACCCCGCCAUGCACGCCAGGCUCCCUGAAGAAUCGUUCAGUUAGUUAGAUAGGAACUGUUCUGUACUUGUAUAUAAUUUGUACAUCGGUGAUCAAUACAGAGCGCUAUUCAUCCGAGUCUGUUUCUACAUGGUAUCAGAGACCGACGGAUCCACCCUCUCCAAUCCGUUCGCCACAGCUUCCGCCCCCAUGGCUCCAUCGCCUGCCAACUCUUCUGCUUCCUCUGCCUCCUCCGACGAUUUCUCUGAUGCAGCCCCUCCUCAACCAGCUCCGGCCGCCGUUCUUCAGACGGUGAACGUCCGCUCCCACGUCCCCAUUCUGCUUGACUUUGAUGCGGCCAACUACAGUCAAUGGCGCUGCUUCUUCGAUUCUGUUCUCGGCAAGUUUGGCCUUGACGAUCAUGUGCGCUCUCCGACGCCGCUCGCCCAGCGCACCGCUGAGUGGCGCCAAAUCGACAGCUGCCUCGUCAAUUGGAUCUACACCACCAUUGCCAAGAACGUCUUCGAUCUCGUCCAUAAACCCCGCACCACGGCGUUCUCGCUGUGGUCUGACGUCGAGGGCCACUUCCGUGACAACGAGCUUGAGCGCGUUGUUCUUCUGGAGGCCGAAUUCCGCAGCGUCCAGCAAGGCGACCUGUGCGUCCACGACUACUGCACCAAGCUCAAGCGCCUCGCUGACCAGCUUCGCGAUGUCGGCCAUCCUGUUUCAGAACCAAGUCAGGUUCUCAACCUCCUCCGCGGACUCAGCCCCAAGUACCGUCAUGUGAACCUCCUCCGCGGACUCAGCCCCAAGUACCGUCAUGUGAAGCCGGUAAUCAAAUCCAAGUCCCCACCCCACACCUUCCGCAGUGCAAUGUCGUACCUGCUCCUGGAGGAGGCCAGCGACUCCCAUGACGCCAAGGCGAAUGCCGCGCAGGCUUACCUCGCUCGCCACGGUGGCCCCGCUACUGGUGGCUCCUCCAUUGGAAGCUCCGGCGGAUCCGGCGAUUCCGGCUCCGGCUCGCGCUCCCGCUACAGGGACAAGAAGAAAGGGCGGGGCUGCGCAGGCUUACCUCGCUCGCCACGGUGGCCCCGCUACUGGUGGCUCCUCCAUUGGAAGCUCCGGCGGAUCCGGCGAUUCCGGCUCCGGCUCGCGCUCCCGCUACAGGAACAAGAAGAAAGGGCGGGGCUAUGGCUCCUCCUUCGGCGCUACUACAAAUUCAAUGGGACAUAAUAGGCCGACAAUGACGACGAAGAUGGGCUGAUGGCGGUGGGAAAGUCCAUUUGCAAGGGACCAAGCCCAUACCUUCUCAUCGGGCCUAAAUAGAGCUUGGAAGUCCUUAUAAAAAGAAAAAGGGCUGAUCAGCCAACCUUUCUUUAUUCGUUGGUAAGUUGCGGAAAUCAACAGCUUGACACGUACACAAAGCACGUACUAAAACACAGCAAAAUGUACACGGCAAGCGCGGCGCACAGUACAAACUGAAACUCCAAAGGCUACUACUACUGGAUGUAGGACUGGCCGGUGAUGUCGAGGUCGCGGUCGCCGGUGGACGGCGGCGGCGGGUGACUGGGCUUCCCGGCGGCCUUGGCCUCCUCGGGCCCGUCUGCGCUCUGCGUGGCGCUGGCGCGCGGCCUGGCCGGGUCCCUCCGCCGGCCCUGCCCCUCCUCGGUCGCGUACAUCCCGCCGCCGUAGGCCUCCCGCGUGAGCGGCUUCAUCUCGGAGAUGUUGGGCGGCUGGUGCUCCCGCUGCAGCUGCGGCUGCUCCCCGGCCACGAGGUCGGCCAGCUCCGGGUCGCUCGACGGCACCUUGGGCUUCUCCUCUCUGUCCUCCAUCGCCUUCUCCCUGUUCGGAAAAACCCUCUCCAUUGAUGGUACUCGUGCGCGUGUGCGUGUGUGCGUGUCACUCGUCUUGUCGCAAGUAGGCUGGUGCUCAUCCGGCAGCGGCCUGUGAGUGGGCUUGCUUAAAUAGCUGCGCGGUGGAUGGAGAUGGAUCGGGACGAUCGCGCCGGGAGACAGCCUCGCGUGAGAUCUCGUGCGUGCGUGACCGCGUGCGCUUGUUUAUUCCGGCGCGGCUGCGGCGUUGGGGGGUACGCGUGUCGCGGCCGGGGCACGCGUGGAGCAAACGCUCGAGGGCCGCGUGGGACGAUCGGGACACCUGCUAGAGGUCGGUGCCUGGGGUGUCGGGGGACGUGACUCGUGGACGUCACCAUGUCGAAUGCCGCCGCCUGGAUCGGAUGUGGCCCGGGCCGCCGCAGCAUUUGAUCUUUUCCGUCGUAGGUUCGUGCGGCAAGAGGUGAACUCUAUAUGGAGCCAUCUACACGCACCUACCGAAAGCCAUUGCAAAGUGAUGUGCCGCGACUGGUUGAACUGGACAGGUGGUGGUUUCCGUCGUGCAUAGCUGUGGUAGUGCGUUUAAGGUGCCGGGUUCCUCGGGCGUCCAUGCCGAUUCUGUGCUUCAAUUCGCUCCUCAUCACGAAUCAGACGACGAUGGAACCCAUCUUUCUGCUGGACGAUACCAUCGAUGUCGUGUGUGCGCUAACCCGGAGGCAUCAUCGCCAAGUUCACCCACCCCUGCUUGGGUCCCUUCCGGCAGAUGCCGUAGCCGUCUGCGCGAAAGGCUUUACGUGCAGCCAGAGCCAGCACUGGCCCCAUGAGACCAUGCCGUUUAUGCGAUGCAGCAUCUCUUCGUCCUGUUUUUCUUUCUGAAGAAGUCAGCAGCAUCUCUUCCGGUGGAGCCGAAUCGUAGGUGUGCCCGCGCAGCCGGGUGCGCUUCUGCUCGCGCAAUUUCCAGGGCACUGCGCCGGCAUCAAGAGACGGGAUUAAAUUUAAUCCCUAUCGUAUCACAUCAAGAGUCGUUUCCUGUCCUGUCCUUUCCUUGGGCCAAUGCAGACCGAGACCGGUCAAGGCACAUUCAUCUCCGAGCAGGGCGCAGCAUCACAAUUUGGGUUCCCUAUCCAAGUAUACCACAUCAUCGGCAGUGGUUUCACAGGCUUGCUGUAGGAGCGUUUUCCGCGUUCAACAGAAAUUGCCAUGUCCAGAAUGUUCAGCUGGGUCCAUCAUCAGCUAAGCUGCAGAAUGUUCAAAACGGCGAUCAGCCGAUCAGGAUUGAAUGCAUGAAUUCAUGAACCUAGCUAUAGUUUCUGUUCGGAGUACGGAGGAAACUACCAUGAACCUGCACUGCGGCGAGCGAGACGUUGCUCGCAUCAGUUGUAGUGCCCAGCAUGUCACUCCGAUCGGCCAUGCCGAUAUGUGCUUCUCAGUGGCAGACACCUGCCGAACAUGCUCUCGAGUUGUUGGACGAAAUGAACUUUCUCAGCACGCUACGCUUGCACUUGGGUAGAGUCGAGUCAGGGUGAGGUCUUCUGGGUGGACGACCUGAGAUUGGAGUGGAUCGAGUCCUCUGUUGACUUGACCGGCAACUGAAGUCUAUGGCCAUUGUCUGUUCCCGAUUCCGGAGGGCGUCCAGCCGGAAAAUCAUACGUGCCCACAAGUGCAGACACGACACGACACGAGAGCUGUGUUCUGCUUGUUGGCAGUGCGUGAUGGCGCCCUGCGGUCUGCGUACUGCUCCACGCGGUGUGGUGUGCAGAGUCCACGCCGAGGUCUCCGGUCGCGUCGUGGCGGCACUGCCACCCUCCAAUCGCUUUCCUCCUCCUCCUCCUCCAAGAACAAACCAAGAAAACACAGUACAGUCCUUGAUUCUUUGAUGCGCCAUGGAUGCCUUUCGGAUAUGUGAUCGGAUCAGUAGUGUGCCUGAAGAACUGGUCUACAUGCCGUAUUCCGGCUGCGUGCAUGGAAAAUUCAGACCCCGUUUUGUUCGCAUGUACAGGCGUACGGUGCAGCUGAACGAGUCCUAAAGACGAAACACGGGCUGGAUGAUGGAACUGCUCAAAAAAAAUUUCAACCGGAAAAGGAAAAUCCGCAUAGUGACGCCAAACCAGGCGCAUUAUUUUCCAUGCCAAACUGCAGAAAAUGCAAGCGCCAGCGUUUUCCCUGAUCGAGAUUCGAGUGAUGAAGAAUCAGUCCGCGGGUUCAGCCAAGGAAGGAACUGUAUUUGAAUUCAAACGACAGGGGCACAAGCAAUUUCAGCCAUGCAGAGAUGAUGAGAGCCCUAGUAGAGGUAGAGCCUUUCAUUUUUGCUUCGGACGCGUGACUUGUCCGGUCAUCUCGGCAUUCGCCUAACUCACACUCGAUCAUGUUGCUGUUGCAGAACAGUGUGUGUGAACCUACAAAAAAUUUUGGCACUGCUUGUGCAUGCGACUUCGUCGACCUGCAGGCUGGGGGCCUGGGGUUCACACGCUACAAACAAACAGGGCACGAUUUGGUCCGUCGAUUCGUGAUGAGUUGAGUUGAUUCAGUUCGUCAGAGAGAGCGGUCUCUAUCAGGUGGAAAGCCAGUCCGCCUUCAAAGUCGGUCAAGAUGACCAAAUGGCGAGGCGCAGCCACACACCUAGAGCAUGUCUGCUGGAUCUGGAUGCUAGUAGCUGUGGAUUUUCAAGCAAGCUUAUGACCCUUGACAACUCUAAUUAAGAUCCAGAAUUCUUUUUUUUUUUGCUAGGAAGAUCCAGAAUUCUAUUAUGAACUGCUCAUUAAGAUGGUACAUGACUGCAUGCGUGGUGAUAAUUCUCUUCCAUUUGCUUUAGACUGAAGUCAGUUUUCUGCUUCUGACUUCUCUGCAGAGUAAGAAGGUUAAUUAUUAAAGAGGUAGUGAAACAGGAGUGUGAAGAGAGACUUGUAUUUUUACAUCACUUAUACUUCAGAGUUCAGACUGAAGCCAUUCUCUGUUCUGCUUUCACUGCAUUACAGUACUAUAGAAACAAGAGUGUGAACAAAGACUUUUACCCAGUUUGGUGCAGCUUAGGAACCAGGAGAGGUUCACAUGACUAUGAAGGAACUUUACAGGAAACAAACGUGGUAAAUUUUCCCAAAAUCCUCGCAUUCAAGAUGGGUCAUGUACUAUCUUAGGAUGUGGUAAGAGUGGAAGACUACCAAGUCAUUGGUAAACCGGCCAAACCAACCAGAAGCAUUGCACGCCAUUCGUUAGCUCAAAUUCAAAUUGGGAUUGCCUGAUCGGCAGAUAAUCUCGGUGGUCGUUUUGGGUCAUCGCAACGAAAAGUAUUCUAGACGUCAAAAUCCUGUGUUAAUGUGGACUGCGACUCACACCUUUGAAAUAUAAAUUAGUCAUUAGACCAGCAGGGCAAGGUAUAGGGAUAGUAAUUUAGCGGUAACGACAGGGGCCCAACUCACCACACUCGUGGUGAAUUAGGCUUCAUCCAGGUGAUGAAGCAAUAAUUUCUUCUUCUUUUUUGUCAUGAUUCAAGCUGUUUUUCUAGACUGUACCAAGAGCUCAUCCAGUGUCUGCCUUUUGUUAUAGAUUAAACCUAGCACACAAGGGGUGAAAACCGUUAUAUAACGCCGCCUUUCAGAAAAAAGAAGUGACUGCAGUGAGAGAAUGCUUCAUAUAGACUUGCAGCUACGGGGUUACGGGCAAUGUGGCUAGCUUAAAAGAGAAAAAUAGAAGCAUGCAUCCACACAACACUUUCUUAUUCAAAGUGGCAUGUACUUGAUAUUGACAUCUUUUCAAGAUUGAAAAUAGUCGCCAUCUCAAUCCAACGAGCUUAUACUAAGUCUAAUAUUCCGUUGAUGUUGACUCCAGAUAAGUUAUAAAGCAAGUCCAGUCAUACAUUUCGAGAGGCUGAACAAUAUGGAAUUCAAUUACAGAAGAAGCACCAAAGCAAUCUCCCUUUUGCCGUGAUAGAACUGCUUUGUCUCUAGUAGAUAAUUGGUUUUUCAUUUUUUUUCCUUUUCUUGUGACAGAAAAAAAAACAUAUGCCUUCAUUCGUUCUGCCUAUGUUUUAUGAAUAAUUUUUCAAAUUUAUGUGACACAUGCUACACGAGAUGCAACGCCAUGGCAGAAUGUUAGACGGGAGAUGCCGUGAUCCUAGUUUCCUAGAUGUAGAUUGAUUGGCUUAUCAACGCCUUUCAUCCAGGUCCACCAACCGUGCUCCAGAGAUCCGUAUCAAACAUGUAAAAAGAGUUUGACAAACAAUAAACUAAAUCAAAGAGAAAAAGCAAAAAGAAAAUGGUGAGUGUUACAAUUCAUUGUAGCAUAAUUUAUUAUAGUUCAUGAACCUAAAUGACACUGUCGAGCAAACCGUGUUGGCGCACUUUCCUCUAGAAAAAUAAAAGGCACCACUGAAUCCUAACAAGCAAACUAAGAGAGAGAGAGAGAAAUGCUUACUAACCUAUGAAAAAAUGAAUAAUUUGGUGAACCCUACAAACUAAAUGGUAAGCAUAUUAUUAUAUUAACAUAUAACUAGACAUUCAAAGUAGAACUGGUUGUACGAGCAGUGUCAUCUUCCAAUCAUCAUUAAGAUGACUCCUGAUGCCACUAGGUAGCCCAUCAACCUCUAAUGGGCAAAUAAUAGAUUUCACAACGAAUAAGAACACAUCAAUGAUUUAGCCGAACACUCCAUAACCGUUAGCCAUCAGGUUUUCCAAAAUGGAGAGUCACUGCUAUUAUUCAAUCGUCACAACCAGAUGCGGUUAUUCAUUUCAGGUGUAGAAAAGGGUCAAGUUUUGUGACUUAACAAAUCCCCAGAGUCCAUCCAAACACACACCUCAAAUAAAAUAAAAAAGGUUUCCACAUAAUGCAGUAAAACUAUUGCUGCUGUUGAGCCGCCGAACUCAUUCUCUGAGUGAGCAAGCACGACCUACUUACUUGUCGUUUUCAGCGCUGCUAAGAAACUGUGACCACUGGUCUCCAGGAAACCGCGUGACUUCAUAAAACCCUGGCUAUAUAAGCGAGGCGGCCGCUACCCGGCACCCUCAUCCAUCGACCGGCGCAAGGCGAAGCAAGCAGAGCUGAAGGAGGAGAGCACUUGAGGCCUAGCACGAGAGAGCACACAACAGCGACGGCAAUGGCGUCCAUGGAAGUGGAGCAGGAUCUCCCGGGCUUCCGGUUCCACCCCACCGAGGAGGAGCUCCUCGACUUCUACCUCGCCCACAUGGUCCACGGCAAGAAGCUCCACUUCGACAUCAUCGGCACGCUCAACAUCUACCGCCACGACCCAUGGGACCUUCCUGGUACGUCCACGAUCAAGAUGGCAUGUGAUCUUGAGACGAUCGAUUGGAUGGUUUGUCUGAUCAUCAAGCUGUGACGUGGUGUGCAGCGAUGGCGAAGAUCGGGGAGAGGGAGUGGUACUUCUUCGUGCCGCGGGACCGGAAGGCCGGCAGCGGCGGGCGGCCGAACCGGACGACGGAGCGCGGGUUCUGGAAGGCCACGGGGUCGGACAGGGCCAUCCGGAGUUCGGAGAACGCCAAGCGGGUGAUCGGGCUCAAGAAGACGCUCGUCUUCUACCAGGGGCGCGCCCCGCGGGGCACCAAGACGGACUGGGUCAUGAACGAGUACCGCCUCCCCGACUACGGCACCGGCCGCGGAGCGCCGCCGCCUCCCCAGGUAAUGAUGAUCCGCCGGACGGAGUUCCGCACAAGUGCUCGUGAUUUUCUCAGGAAUUUCGCCAUCCUAGCUAGAACUGGUAGCAAAAUUAACAGUGAUGAAAGAAAGAUCAUAUCAAGCACGAAACGUUUACUGAUCAAUUUUUUAACUGCCUUUCACUGGUUUGGUACGAAAUUGCCAAAUCAGCGUGCGAUUUAAACAGUAAUUAACUGGGGGAGGUAAAGUGCUGAUCGGCUUCUUGCCUUUGGCCUGAUAUCUGAUUUACUACCAUAUUGUGUUUUUUUUCUUCUCUUCGUCAGUUGACUUAGGAGUUGACCCGCUUUUCCUUUAAACUGCAUGGAAAUUUUGUCCAGCAAGAAACGUGGUAGCCUACUAGGCCAUAGCAUGCAAUCAAUCAUUGUAGGAAAUUGACGAAUGUCUGACGUUUCUGCAGGAGGACAUGGUGCUGUGCAAGAUCUACCGGAAAGCCACCCCACUGAAGGAGCUGGAACAGAGAGCCUCUGCCAUGGAGGAGAUGCAGAGGCGCAGCGACGCUGCACACUACACGGCCAGGGCAUCCCUGACCCAGGCCUCGGCCUCCGCCGGCGACGACUACCUGUCGUCCGACGACAGCUUCCUCUUCCCCUCCGCUUCCUCGUCGCCGCCAUCGGGCGACAGCUACAGCGCGCACAAGGAAGCCAAGCAGGAAGCGGCAGAAGCGACGGUCACGGUGGCGUCGACGUCUCUGAUGCAGGCGGCGAACAUGGCCGUCAUGCAGCCCCCGGCGGUGAGGCACGGCGACCUGCCUACCCUGCAGGUGCCGACGAACCAUGGAGCCCUGGACUGGAUGCAGGACCUGUCCCAGCUACGCAGCCCGUGGCAGGACCAGUUUUUCUUGUCUCCCUUGGCCAAUCUGCUCUCUUGAAGGGUUUCAAAAAUCUGCUCUCUUGAAGGGGACAAUACUGGAAGAAGGUGAAGUGUCCCAAUCUAGUCGCGUUAUCAGAAUGCGUUUCAGGUUCAGCUUUGCAAGGUGCGAGCUGCAAGCGUGAUGCUAGCUUAGAGGUGAAACCGGUUGUACAUACUGAAUAUUAGUUUUAGAUGCGAUUAGUUAUUGUGGAUGCCUUUUGGUAUGUUAUGUUUGACAUGACUGAAAUCGCAAUAAAUUAACUGAGAAUUGGUGGUUCUGUUUGCUACGUUCUACAAUCCUGAUCCUUCAGAAAACAAAAUACUUGAUGAACAUUGGAGUCCAGAGAUAGGAGUAGAUCUUGCUUGAGUUGUAGUAUAAGGGUUUUUUUUUACAUAUACAUAGAAAAAAUUUCAACAUUUUGUAUGUAACAUUUUGCAUAAUCCAUAAGAAAUCAAAAUAAUUGAGGACAGUCAUGACCCAUAGAAAUCAAAUAAUUAAGGACAAUAAGCCUAAGCCAUCAAAAUCACUAUUUUAGGGAUGCUUGCUCGAUAUCACCUUUCCACUUUUUUUCCUGCUAAGGGAUCAUAAGACCACUUUCUUCUUCCCUUGUAUAUUGAUCACCCUUCUCGUGCUUCCCAAAUCGCCUUCGCUCUACCUCACAAAUGUUAUAGUGCAAAACAUAUAGGUGUCUCGUGAGCAAGGUUUUGCCAAGAAAAGUUACUUUUGGCACACCAGACGGACAAAAAUUUAACCACUAAAUUGUUCUGAAGACAUAUAUUGUUAAAAGAUACUCCUCCGUCCCAAAUUACUAAUUUUUUGACUUUUUUUAAGGUACAUAGCUCUUGAUAUGUACCUAGAUAUAUACUAUAUCUAGAUACAAAGAUAAAGUUAUGUAUCUAGAAAAACCAAAACGAAUAAUAUUUUAGGAUGGAUGGAGUAUUAUGAAAUUAUUCACACGUAGGUUUCUUAUAUGGCUGAUAACGUUCUUCUAAAUCAUUGGCCUCUAACGCGAAUCCACGAAGAAAUUUUGGUUGAUAUCCCAGUUUCAAAGAUACACCAAGCUUUCUCCGGUUUCUUUGUCUGAAAGCACAAUUAAAGAUGGCAUGUUCUCUUGUACUCCGUAUUAAAAAAGAUGAGAUGGUCUCUAGUUUUCCUCGGCGUUCUCUAUUAUAAAUCGGCUCCAUAUUCUUUUUUAUAUAAAAAAUCGGCUUCACACGAAAGUAUCCGAUUAAGGAGCUUUAUCCACAGCACAGAGGCAAAAAGAAUCAAGAACUUGAGCUUCCGGCACACUUGGAUUUACAAAUCCACUUUAUGAAAAGAACUUUUUUGCCUGUCCACGUUGUUUUUCUUUUUUGGAGGGAAAUCCACGUUUUUUUUUGGAGACUCAUCACUGCUCUUUAUUAAUCGCCUGGGUGAUAAGAAUUACAAAUUCCAGGGUGGAGGUGGACACAAACCACACAUGACACAUACACCUACACCUACAGGGAAAUCCACGUUAUGGAAUCAGCCCAUCGGGCUCCAUAAAACAUUCAGGUCAGAUCCAUCAUGGACCUUGUGCAUGGCCCAUUCGAUGUGCCGUCCCAGCGCCGAGAGUCGUGGGCCAGGCUCAUACUGUGGUCCUGUGGCACUUCGCUCACAGGCGUGGUGGGCUGCCUGCCGGUGGUCUUGCUUGACUCCUCGGUACAAUUUCUUUUUCUACUGUUGGACCAUUUUUUGUACAGACUAGGCGAGUAGCCCACGCGUGUUAAGAACAUAUUUUGUGUGACAAAAGGAGCUGUAUUUUUGUAUAACUCACACGGGGCCAAGUUUUUUCACAAAAAAAUGUGCAUCAAACAUGAGUGUCCGUGAUCUAAAAUAAUAUAACCUUCACUAAUUUUGAAAUACACAAGUGCAUUUUCAUGUGGUGUUGUGGGGCGAAAUUUUACUCUCCCACCACCCCCGCAGCUGAUGCCGGCAAGUUUCUCGCGCACAGAAAAGACAGGACGCAAAAUAUAUCCAACCAAUUAUUAUUGAUUGGCUCCAUCGUUGCAUCAUUACAGAAUACAUCAAGAGAUGAGACAGUAUAUACAUCAUCUUUGAAGACAUAAUUAGUAUUCCCUCCGUUCCAAAAUAUAGAUCGUUUUGAGUUUUCUAGAUACAUAAAUCUUGCUAUGCACCUAAAUAUAGAGUUAUGUCUAGAUACAUAGUAAAAUCUAUGUACCUAACAAAAUCAAAACGAUGAAACGGAGAGAGAGUACCCACAGUCGUCACAUGCCGAAGCUGGUAUAGGUUGCCAAGUUUGCGUGCUAGGCAGCUGCUAGCUUUAUUCUUACUACUAGCUGUAUAGAGAGAGAGAGAGAGGCAAACACACACGUGAAGGCUAGCUUAGCGCACGCGUAGUCAUAUACGGCAACCACAGAUCAGCUAGUGACUUAUCACUUGAUCAUUCGUUCUCAGCUAGCCACCUCCGUAAGGCUUCUGGUUCUUGCAGGCCAUGUUGUCCCCGUACCCCACUCGGAGCAUGUCGCAGUACCUCUUGUAGUAGCCGACCCGGUCCUUGGCGCCGUCGGUUCCCUGGCCCCGCCCGCACUCCUGCCCGCCGUUGAUGAUGUUGGUGGUCAGGCCGUAGCCGGGGAGCCUCCCCGCGGCGCGGUCGGCGGCGGAGGGCGCCCAGACGUCGGUCAUCACGGCGUGGCACGACGGCUUGGGAGACUGCGGCGUCAUCCAGAACCAGAUGGCCGUCUUGAACGCCACCACGGGGUCGCUCGACACCAGGUCAGGGUUGCUCACCAGGUCCAGCCCCAGCGCCUUCCCGGCUUGCCUGUAGUUGUAAUCGCUAUAUGCGAAGGCGAAACCGUGUGAUUAGUUGCUCAAGGAUCAACUGGUUAUUGACAUCGAUCAUCGACGGCUAUGAAACUGUGUAAUCUUACUGAGUUAGCUGGAUGGGUCCUCGUCCAUAGUAGGGUGGGUCCGUGGGGUUCUGUUCCUUCACCCGGCAGUAUCCCCAGGCGAACUGUCCAUCCGGAGCAGUAGCCCAUCCACCUGCAUAUAUGACCACAUUCGUCAACCGCACAAAGUAUUAGAGCAAGAUUGACAUGUAGCAAAGCUUCGUUAAUCGAAGAUUCUUGAUCAAAUGGAAAUAAGAAGGGAAAAAUAAGCAUGAAGAGUACCGUACCGGUGGUUUCGUGGGAUGUUUGGCCGAAGAAGGCGGCGAGCUCCCGCCGGCGGGUCUGGUCGUCACCGGUGGUGCCGAAGCCGGGGAACUUGCUGGCGGCCUCGAUGAAGGCGUCGUAGGUGUAGAAGGCGCCCUGACAGCCGCUGUCGCCGCGGUGGCUGAGCAUGCGCUGGAACAUGGGCCGCGUGAUGAUGCUCCACACGCCCUGCUGCUGCCCGCUGGCGCCGCCGGCCGCGGCGAGCAGCGCGGCGCCGGCGAAGCAGAUGAGCACCGCGAUAGCCUUCGUCGUCAUGGCUCGCUUGAGGAUGCGGCGUGGUGAAGAUGUGGAGUGUCACUGCCACUCAGGCGUGGCUUUUAUAAGGCCGAGGCCCGAGGCCGAGCGAUCGAGCUACGCUUUAUGGCCAGGUCACCGCCCGUCUGGUUACCACGCACCCUCGGUAGCUUUCCCACAGGCCACGCACGGUACAUCGUAUCAGGCGAUGGUAAGGUUGCGAUGAGGCCAAAAGGCCAUGGCAUUGGCACAUGAGCCGGUCGGCUUUGCGUUGACUCGUGGUCCACGCAUGAGAUUAUUGUUGCCGAUAUCUUGCGGCAUGCUGCACAGCCUUGUCAGGCCGAGAGCGAUCGAUCGAACUGAGCUUAUGGUCAGGUCACUGUCGGUCUCAAAUGAAAUGAAUUUGAUACCGAACAAAUUUGUGAAUAAAAAAUAGCAUUUAAAAGAUAAAAAAUAGAAAAUAGUAGAUCCUCCUUUAUAACGGGUAGGGUUCUUCUUUUAUAGUGACUCGUGAGCCAUUUACAUUUCGAAAAUGUCCUUACUCAACCAUACAUUCCUAAGAUAUGUCGUAAAUAAAGAUUAUUGGUGGUAAUGUGUACAAAUUGAAUUCUUCGACGUGGUCAUGUUUCUCACACCUCCAUCCUUCCAGUCUCAAGACUUCGCCUUCGUGUCAAGUUGAUCCUCUAGCCUUGAGACUCCGUUCACGAUCCAAGAUGGACGUCUAGCCUCGAGGCGUAUGCUUCACUGAGCUUCGUCGAGAACUCGUAGCUUCGCGCAGGUCCCCUCUGAGUACCGAUUCUGAGUAAAGAGUAAAAAAGAUAAAAGCUCGGUGUCCACUCAUAAUAACCUUGCCAAGUCAGCAAUUUUGCUGAAGUGGUAACAAAUUUAAUGCUCAUGAAACUACUUAAGCCCAGAAAGAGGAGAGAACUUUUUCGAUGAGCUUAAGCCUAGAAAGAGCAGAGAAUUUUUUCACUGCUCAUCGAUAUGAUGCGCUUCUGCUUGUCUGUAGAAACGGCACAGGGGCACAGCUGGACAGGACCAAACUGAUCAUUGAUCAACUCUAUAGCUCACUGUACAACAGACGAGCUCUGAUUUUGAAAAACAGAAGUAAAUUCACUUGCACCCUGCCCGUUUCGAACUUUUGUCAAUGUAAGAUAUACACGGGCCCAAGAAAUGCAUCACAGAAAUGCCAAACCAGGUUAGUUACAACCACAUGUGAACUGAGAUCCGACCGUGGAUAUAGAUAAGUGACGCAUUUAUCAUCCCUGAAAAAGACUAGACUAAAGUAUACACGCAUCACGCCGAAGGUUGCCUUUGCUUGAAUUGCUAAUUUGCUAGCUUUAUUCGUAUUAACAUCACUCAUACUCCAUGUGAAGGCUAGCCAGCGCAGUCAUAAUACAUGUAGCCACCCUCUAAUACGGCCAGCCAGUGGUGGUGAUUGAUUACUACUACUACUACUAUUUCACUAUUUCAGUUGCAAAUUAGCCGGUGGGUCCGUAAGGCUUCUGGAUCUCGCAGGAGAGGUUGCCACCUUCCGCCACCCCAAGCAUCUCGCAGUACAUUCUGUAGAACCCGACCCGGUCAUCUGGAUCUCGCAGGAGAGGUUGCCACCUUCCGCCAACCCAGCGUCUGGUGAUCACGUCGUGGCACGAGGGUUUCGCGGCCUGCGGCGUCAUCCAGAACCAGAUGGCCGUCUCGAAUGCCACCACGGGGUUGCUCGACACCAGGUCCAGCUUCAACGCCCGCCCGGCUAGCUCGUAGUUGUAUUUGCUGUUGCCAACGUCGUCGUUGCAGAUGCAUGAGAGAUCAUUUUUUCAAAAUUUUGCUUUGUUGAUUAUUGAUCAAAGAUCAAGUAAAGAUCUUACUGAGUGAGUUGUAUGGGUCCACGUCCGUAGUAGGGUGGGUCCGUCCGUUGCUGUUCUUCCACGCGGCAGUAUCCCCAGGCAAACGGCCAACCCCGGAGCAGCUGGCCAUCCACCUAUUACCGAUUGAUUGCUACAGCAAAGCUUAAUCGAAGACUAGCUAUCUCUUGAAUGAACCAAAGAAAAGGUUAACCGUGUGAAGAUUGCCAGUGGUUUCAUGGGAGGUUUGGCCGAAGAAGGCGGCGAGCUCCCGCCUGCGGGUCUGGUCGUCGCCGAUGGUGCCGAAGGCGGGGAACUUGCCCGCGGCCUGGAUGAAGGCGUCGUAGGUGUAGAAGGCGCCCUGGCAGCCGCUGUCGCCGCGGUGGCUGAGCAUGCUCUCGAACACCUGACGCGUGAUGAUGGCCCCCACGCCCUGCUGCCCGCUGGCGCCGCCGGCCGCCGCGAGCAGCGCGGCGCCGGCGAGGGCCAGCAGCGCGAAAAGCCUUCUCAUUGUUCUAGCCAGCCUUCGAGGAUGUGGGGAUGGUGGAGUGCCACUGCCGUUUGGACACGGCACGGCACGGCACGGCUUUUAUAAGGCCGAUCGAUAAGCUUUACUACUCUACACGGUAAGGUGAGGAACUUUUCCGAAAGAUCUUCAGGUUAGGUACUCGCGUCAAGGUCUGGUUUACACUCACCCUUGGUAGUUUCCAUGGUACGGUAAGGAUGCGGUGGAAUUCUGAGGCUCCCAGUGCCCGUGCCAGCUUGCAUUGGAAAAUUGGUUGCAGCAUUUGCCAUCUGGCCAUCUGGGUAUACUGCCAAACCGAGAAGACUUCCAGUUCCAGGUCUUCUUUCAUCUUUCUCCUGAAGACUCGGCUCUUCUUCUUCUUUUAGACUCUCCAACUCGAUCCAUCAUCAGUCUGAUGGCCCAAUAAACCUGGUAUGUUACUGGCCCAACUCGGGCUGGUAGCCCACCAGCUUCUUCGACCACCACCACCAACCCGGGACCUGGGCCACUCCAGGUCAACAGCCCAGUAGCCGGUGUCACGCGGAAGGCGGAACCGAGGUCGCCUCGCCACGUCGCGGACUUGCGGUCCGACCCAACUGCGUUCGCCGGUCCGCCAUCACGGCGUGCACUGUGCACGCGGCGGCUCCGGCGGCAUCCGGGCCUGGAUGCACACCAGAUCGACAGGUCCAGCUCCUGUGCCUCCCCGUCCUCUCGUUCCGGUUCUUGCACACAGAACACACACUUCAAUCGCCGUCUUUACCUUUACAUCUGUGAUGGCCCCUGGACCGGUCACCAUCGGCUCGGUUGGCAGACCGGCAGCGCUGUACUCAGAUGGCUGGCCAUGGGACUCGCGAGUCAACGACAGGUAGCCCAGAGACACGCUGGCUGGACCGGAGCCUCCAAAGUUGUUGCAUUGACUGCCAUGGAACGCAACGGCAGUGCAGGAGCCGUUCUUCACAAGGAACAGUUGCUGCAGCGCUUGCCGAAAUGAUCUGCUUCUCCAUGUCUGAACAUUCAGCUCAAGGUUCGCCAGCACGACAAGACCAAUCAACCAACAAGAGAGCAAAUCUCUAGGUUUAGCGGACCACAAGAUAAUUCCCUUGCAUUCCGCCUGUUUCGAUUUUUUUUUGGUCAAUGUAAGAUGUACACGGGCCCAAAAAAAUGCAUCACGGAAAUGCCAAACCAGGUAGUUACAACCACAGGACUGACUAACUCUACAGCACACCAUCCACUAGCCAAUGACAUUCCCGACACCGGGAACCAGGAGCUAACCACGUCUUUUAGGAAGCACUGAGUAGCAUGUCUCUCUCAACAUGAACCUUUCGAGCCGAAGGAGAGGGGACGCCGGCCGAGCCGAUUGGGCUCUCAAGACUUGGUGUUCUUCUGCCGCUUCUCCUCGAGCUGCGAAGCCUCGUUCAGCAUGUCCAUGGCGUCGCUCUGCAUGUUCAGCUUCGAGAGGGCCACGGCUUGCAUGUAGAACGCGGUGGGCCAGUCAGGGUACACGCACUGCGCCUGCAUCGCAUCGCGGAGGGCGGCGUCAGGUUGGUCACACAUGAGGUGGCACAGGCUCCUCCUUGCGUACACUGUUGGUGAUACCAUCGUCCCCACAUCAACAAACUGCAAAUAUGAAAAGGGGUGGCGAAAUGAAUUAGCUUCUAGGAAACGGUUUAGAACGGUUUAGACCGCUGACAAAUCUUGGAAGUGGAGGUUCCCUAAUGUAAUCGUAUACAUUUUAAAACCCGUGUGCGUGAGUCCGGUUAUGGCCCGCGUUGUAAGCAAACUACUAUUUUUUCCUCUUAAUUGAAUGAUACGUGGCUCUCCUACGUAUUCUAGAAAAAAAAGAUAUAAGUAAGACGUGUGUCAACCUGUGUAUAGCAAUCUAUGGCUGCCUUGAAAUCUUUAUCACGGAAAGCAAAGUCCCCACGCUUCCUAGCUUCCAACAUGUCCCUCAUCUGCUGUGUCCAUUCCUGGAAUGAUAGCUGCAAUAAACGUACCACUUUCUUAGAAUUAUUACCCUGUAGAUACGUCAGCAGACAGCAACAGAAAAGCUAUGAUGUUUACCUCAUUAGUCCCUUCAUCAUCCCUGUAAUGUGUAUUCACUAGAAUCUGGUGGAUAGCCGUCAAAUCCAUCCUAGAACAGGCUUCACCCAUGGGAGAAAGAGGGUGCUGUGGCUGCGGAGCAGGAGUUGGAGGCACUUCUUCUUCAUACUUUGGAAUGCCAAGCAUCUCAUAGGAUGGUACCUGUUUGCAAUUUGCAAUGGAAAUGUAGCAGCCGUAAGAAAAGCACAAAAUUGCCUUGUUACCAUAAGAUAACAGUUGCGUGGAAGCCAUGAAUGAAUCAAAUCACAAUAAAGCAAACAAUCAAUGGUAGAGCACAUAGGCUGCAUGGUUAUAUAAAGCUUUUUUUAGAGGAUAAAAAAUAUAACGGUUACCUCUGAUUUUAUUUGCAAGGGCUCGAGAACAGAAACCAGCUUCUUAGUGUUGGGGCGAUCCCUAGGUUCAUACUGUAAGCACUGAGAAGCAAGAUCGACCAAUGUGGUCGCUUCUUCUGUUGAGUAGUUUCCCUCCAAAUGUGAAUCCAUCAGUACUUGGAUAUUGUUGCCUUUUAUCAUAUCAAGAGCCUGAGUGAAAUAAAGCUAAUUUUCAAUGAUAACCUAACGACUUUGUUACCAAGUUAUGUCCGAAAGGAAAAUAUGUUCUCCCACAGAUGCUCAGUAUCGCACACUUGGUGGCAGUUGCAAAAAGGAGAUAUGCACAGAAUAGUAUUGAAUACAGAGGUAUUUUUCAGAAAGGGGGUCAGUAAGGAUCAAAUGCAACAAGGAAAUCAAUAGUAUUAACGAUAAAAACUUACACGGGAAGGAGGUAUACGCUUUCCACUGAGGAGGUCCAGAAGUAUAGUGCCAAAACUGUAUAUGACACUUUCUGAUGUAACUCUUCCUAAAGAAGCAACGGUUACCACAACAAAAGAAAUGUUAGAAAUAUACAUCCAGAAUGAUUUCACUUCAUAUUUGCUAUUUCAAGACUAUAUCCUGUGAACUUUGAUCCUUAAUCAAUCACCUCACGUGUUUUCAGUCGACUACCUAUAAGUGCUUACAUAAAGCAUUCAGCAAGUCAACAAGAUGGAUUAUUUCAUCUUGAGGGGCGAAAUAACCCAACUUUUCCACUAUUUUGAGUAGCAUUUUGCAGUGUUCCAUACUUCCAUUAAUUGAUCCAAUCGGUAUGAAAGUUUUAGCCAUUCUAUUGUCAGUACUAACCAUCUACAUGUAUAUCAUUUCUAAAUACCCUAACUAAGCAACCCAAAGAAGAAAUUUUUGGUCGUAAAUACAAAUACAAUCAUAUUACCAUUCCUUAAAUAUUCUGGAGGAGUGUAUGCAAGAUUCGUACUAUAGCUUUUCCCGUCCCUGCUGUUUUUCAUCAGGCCAAAACAUGAAAGACGAGGAUCACCAUUCUGCAAAAAUAAAUUACAUUGGUUGUUUAGCCCGCAGAGGAUUACUGCAGUUAAAGAAACAUGCAACAAGCUGUGAAAUGCAAUCAACAUCAUCCAAAAAAGCAUAGCAUAACCAAUAAUAUUCCUAACCAUUUCAAAUCAAUAUACGAUGAUUUUUAUAGAACCCAUGAAAAAGAGUUGACAUUUCGAUUUUGAUAUGUAUUUCCUUCCAACCACUAGAGGUGGAGUACAGGUGGCAACAGACCACUCCCACUUCCAAUGUCAGAUGAAGCAGAGAAAGCAUCCAUGCAGAGGGUAAAAGCUCAAUGGAAUCCUAAGGUACCCUUCCCAGAAGAACAAACCAAUACUUGCAGCAGCAGCAGAGAUAUUUACAAACAAAAAAAAAAAGAAAAGAAGAACUCAUUUACUCAGCUUCAUGAUAUUGUAGUAGAUUGGUAAUUUUCAAAAAACAAUUCUAGGGCUGUAGGAUAAAUAAAAGGGGUAAGAAUUAGUUACCUCAUCAAAGAGAACCCUGUAUGCAUUUAGGUCAUGAUACAAAGGCCUUCCCUCAGUGCUGCAAUACUCCAGUGCUUCAGCGAUGUAGUUUGCAACUCUUAGACGCAUAGCCCAUUCAAUUGUCUGGUUUUCCCCUGAAAAAGAGUAAAAUAAAUAUCAGGUAAUGAACUGACGCACAGUGAUGUACAGUUAACUUGUCCAAAAUCAUCUUCCCAUGAAAAGGUGAAUGCAAUCAAGAUUAACAAAAGAGGCGAUUACAUGCCGGCCUCAAUGUUUUGUUUCUAAAGAAACCCAUCAUCAUUUGCAAGUUGAAACCAUUACCAAUAACACCCAAACCUUGCCCAUACACCCUGGGAACAGGCUGUUCAUAAAGCACAAACCCCACGGAUCCAAACAUCUAGUUAAUGCAUCAACUUAUUAAUUUCAAAUACGCAUUGCAGAGCACAAUAUCACUUGCAUUCAUAAUUCCUAAAUUUUACUGUGACAAUAUACGUCCACAAUGAAAUCCUGUAAGCUAAUUCUAGUCAUCCACCUGUCCAAAACAAUGAACAGAACAUCUGAACACAGAACAAUGAUGUAGUAAUAUUAUAUCACGUGUUUAAUGCAGCCUGUGCCCUGAUCGGUUUCAAUGGAUUCACACAACGACCAGGCCAACAACAACCAGAUAGGAAUUGGAUAUCACGACGCCUAGCCCAAUCAUUUCGUUCGGUACACCAAAUGCGGGAGGCUGCUAAGCGCCAGCAGUUGCUCAGAGCACGCCGAUUCGUCUUUUUUGCCAACUUCCACACUAAUAAUCAGGGAUCAAAUCAGACGAAGCCAAAAACUAUCGCAGGGUGUAUUUACCGAAAAUGGCCAGCGAAAUAUCCAGAACCAACCAGGAAUCCAGAAAGCGACCCAUCAGAAAUGGACCAAUGGCUAGAGGAUCGGUAGAGCAAACGUACAGUGGAAGAGGUGCUUGGCGAGCGUGUCGUUGGGCAUGAACUCGGCGACGAGCAGGCGCUCGUCCCCGUCGCAGCAGUAGCCGAUCAGGUUGGCCAUCCGGCAGUGGCGCAGCUUGCCGGCCCCCUUGGCCUCCUCCUGCGAGCAAAAGCAAAGGCGUUUCAUUGCAGCGAAUUCCACCCCGAAUCGGGGGGCGCGUACGGUAAUCGAUCCCGAGCCCGCCCCUAGACGUACCGCGAACUGCUUGGCAUCGGGCCAGGCCGCCUUGGUGAACUUCUUGACGGCGAUCGCGCGGCGGCUGUGCUCGAGGCGGCCCUUGUACACGAAAUUCGGCGCCUUCUCGCCGCUCUCGGAGACGAUGUUCUCCGCCACGAAGCCGCCCGUGGCGGCGCGCAGCUCCGCCAGCGAGAACUCCUUGAGCGGCGGCACCUCGCGGCCGGCGGCGCCGGCGCGCGCCGCGGAGGACGCCGUCGACUGGUGCUGGUUGAGCGAGAGGGAGGGGCGGUGCGGGGGGAGCGGCUCCGUCGCCCUCCCCGGCGGCUUCUUCUCCGGGUGCGUCCCCGUCCGCAGCGAGGAGCCGCAGCAGCCCAUCGGGAGUCCACUGGGUGGCUUCAGCCGCGGCCGCGUCUGCGUGGGCGCGCCUGUGGUGUGGUGUUGUGUGGGUUUGGGUUCCCCUGGCUUGCCUGCCGAGUAGCGGAGCAGGGGAAGAGGAGAAAGAGGAGGUGGUGGUUUUGUUCUGGCUUUGGGGUUGGUUGCCUCUGCCUUUGUAUGGGGUGUCGUCCCCUUUUUCGCUGCCGCGGUAAGCCGCCGUGCGUGCGCGCGCCGGGUGCGUCGCUGUCCUGGCCUACCUACGAGGACGAUCUUACUCUUGAGCCUUGACAAAGUUUCAACUCUCAAUUCAUGGCUUAACAAAUAAUGAUAACAGCGUUAAUAGUAAAUGAAAAAAAUUGUGUUGUGGAAGUGGCGCACAAUUUGAAACUUGGAACGAAGAGAUUUGGCAAGCGUUACAAUGCCGUUGGAUUGGAUUACGCUAUCCAAUUUACAUGGCGUGUGGCAUCAUAGAUAGCGUAAAAGUGUCCCGUAAAAGUGUAACGGUGGACAUCCGUUACUUAAAAUAACGAACAACGCUGUUGAUAGUAACGGAGAAAAUUACGAUGCGAGCGUUACCGCACGCGUGCCAUAUAAUACUAAAAUCCAAAUUCAUGUGAUCUAACAGCAGGUUAGGUCACGUGCAAAGUUACGUUAUCCAAAUUAUGUUCGAUGUUGUGCGGCUUAUGUAUAACCUAAAUUGUAACAUUUUAAUGUCGUUAAAACCAACUAGAAACAACAUUAAUAGUAACGGAGAAAACUUAUGUCAGCGCAUCUGCAUACAUACCGUGCAAUAACCGACCUAAAUCGUGCCAUGUGGCAUCACUAUAGCGCCAAUAGAUUUGAUCACGUAAAGCGCCACGUCCUACAUUUGGUAGAUGUUAUGCAGUUUAAACUGUAACUUGUAACUUUCCAUGUAGGUUGUUCGAAAUGCUCUCGACCUUGCUUUUAAAAGGUUCUCAACUUUUUUUCUUUUUCCCUUCCUCCAGCGCUUGAAAUCUUGGAGCCGUGUUGGCAUCAAUUAGAGACGCCGCUUACAUUCGGAAAGAAAACAUUCAACUCUGGUCGGUGUACUAGUUUGCAAGGAUGACAAAGUUUCCCAUUUGAGUGUAUUUUUAGGGGAUUUUCCAUUUGUGUUUUGAGUAGGAGUAGUUAUAGUAGUACUCUGCUGUGAGCAUGCUUGCUCGCGCCCUGCUGGAGUCAACGGCUGUCUUCGGUGGUUUUCGUACUCGCACCGAUUGAUGGGUUCGGAAGCAAACAAGGCACGGCCGUACGUAGGUUGGGACGGAUAGGGAACGAGCCGAGCGCGCCACGCAAAUCUGUCUGCCCGGAUUACGCGUCAGGCGCCGGAGCCAGCCAGCCAUCCCUCCCGUCCCGGGCUGGCUGGAUGCCGUGGGCCGCGCGUCUCCACCUGCAGCGCCCCGCGCAUCCGGCGACCGUGUCGCCGCCGUGCCAGGUCUCCGCGCAACUUUCUGGCCACCCCGCGCUGCCCGCUAGCGUAAACCCGGCACGAAACGGACGUCCGUUCGGCAACGGGCGCCGCGGCAGUUUUAGCAGAGGAGACGGGACGGGGCAACCGUAAACCUUUUCUCCGGGUCAGAGGAACGGUUACUGUGGGUUUUGCAACUGAGAUGCAUAAACGAAGCAGUUGAUAAAAAUCUGCUAAGAAAAGGCUUCAGUUUGCCCUUUUUCUCUGCUACGGUAUGAUUGAGUGAAAUGUUUAGGGGAUGUUUGAUCCUUGACCUAGAGUUUAGCCAGGUGACACGAAUGUCUAGAUGCUAAUUAGAAAUAUUAAACAUAGGCUAAUAAUAAAAAUAAUUGCAUAAAUGAGGGCGAAUUCACGAGACGAAUCUAUUAUGCUUAAUUAAUUCAUAAUUAGCACAUGUUUACUGUAGCAUCACAUGUGCUAAUCAUGGACUAAUUAGACUUAAUGGAUUCAUCUUGCAAAUUAGCUCUCAUUUAUGCAAUUAUUUUUAUCAUUAGCCUAUGUUUAAUACUUCUAAUUAGCAUCUAAACAUCCAAUGUGACCCGAGCUAAAUUUUAGUCUAAGGAUCCAAACACCCAAAUAGGAGUUAAAAGUGAUACGUUUAGCUCUUUUUUCCGGGUCAGAGGAACACUGUUACUGCAGGUUUUGCAACUGAACGGCAUAAACGAAGCACUUAGUUGCUAGAAUGGCGUAAAAACCUACUACUGGUAAAGCUUGAAUGGCUGUAAAUAGUUGCUAGAACCGAAGAGUAUUUGCCUGACCGAAAUGUUUAGCAGGAGCGGGUAGUGAAAAUUUUUGUAGGAUUUUACACAGUUACUUUUUUUUCUGCAUUUUGUAAACUAAAAAUAGUACAAUAGUAAAUUAAAGAACCGUUCAAAUCACAAAGAUGGAUGGAUCCAAGGAAGGAGUCUGAACAGCAAAGCAGCUCUCGAGUCUUCAAAACCCUGACCCCAGGAUAUGAAAACACCUGCAUUUGAAAGAGACUUUCAUUUUUGAAUUCCACGAUUCACACGCACAAGGACACAGUUCAUUUGUUUAUAAUGUACUAAAGCUAUUCUACGAUCCCCAGGAAUAACGGCGAUUUGUUUAACGAGUCAGCUGCAUGAUCGGAACACUUCAAGUCUCCCGGGUGACCUCGCUUGACCUGCUGACCAGGUCAGGUCGGUCACCGGUCUUGAGCUCCUACGGCAACGGCAACGGCAACGGAUCCACCGGCUUUCAGUUUGAACCCUUGUGUACGAAGACCAAAAGGCAAGCCGUUACCAGGUUCCGCGUUUCGGUUCCCACACUGUCGCGGGUAACUCAUAAACUGAACAGUGGAUUGCGCUGGCACAAAUCUAAAGCAAGCUAAGACCCGUUUCUUUCAGUUUCGGACCUUCUAGGUAACUUUCGCGAAGCAAUUCGAAGCACACCUGAUGGUCACCGCUACUAAGUCGCCUCCUGUCUCCGACGUCUUCCGCUACGAGAAAAGUUGGGCGCUCGACCCCGAGUUCCAACGGCUUGUGGCGGGCAUCUGGGCCCACCCCCAGAAUCAACGAGGGAGCAUCUACGAUCGCGUCUGCCGCAGCCUCAAGUGAACGCGCGCCACGUACAAGAAGUAGGCGCGCAGCCGGCAGCCGUCAUGGUGGCUUGCCGCGCGGUUCUCGAGCUCCUGGACCUCCUGGAAGAGCGUCGUCCCCUCAUCGCCGCCGAAGCCCUUGUGCGCUCCCUGGUCAAGGCGCGCCUUGCACGUGCUGUCCACGAGCACAACCUCUGCUGGCACCACCGCUAUAGCAUCAAGGCGUGUAAACUCGGUGACUAAAACACCGCGUUCUACCACGCCUCUGCCUCCGCGCAACUCCGCAGCAACAAGAUUCAAGUGUUGCACGACGACGGUGUCCCCGUCUCCUCCCACGCCGGCAAGGAGCGCGCUCUGCACCGGUACUACUUGGACCUGCUCGGUGACGCCGUCCCCAUCACCUUCCCCGACGGUGCUGGGCGGAUUCUCCCUUCCGUGUCGCACCUUGACGCCCUGGAGGCUCCGUUCACCCCCUCCGAGGCCAAGACGGCGCUCUAGCAAAUGCGCACCGCCAGCAGCCCUGGCCCCGACAGCUUCGGCCUCGCCUUCUUCCGCUAGUUCUAGCCGACCAUGGGUGACACAGUGCUGGCAUGGCUCUCCUUCUUCCACGACGGCAUAGUGGACCUGGCGCGCGUCAACCAAGCUCACGUUGUGCUCCUGCCUAAGAAGCAUAGGGGUCGUCACCGCCAACGGCUUCCGACAGAUUAGCCUGCAGAAUUAUGUGCCGAAGCUCACCGCCAAGAUCCUCACCAACCACUUGCAAAGCGUAGUCCCCGCGCUCAUCUCCGACUACCAGAUAGGCUUCGUCAUGGGGCGCUCCAUCACGGACAACUUCCUGCUCGCCACGGAACUUGUCUAGUGCUGCCGCGUCCAGCGUGUCCCCACCGUAGUCCUUAAGCUUGGCUUCCGCAAAGCUUUCGCUGGGAAGUUCUCGACCGUGUUCUCGAGCUUCGUGGCUUUGGGGACACAUGGCGCGGCUGGAUGCGCAAUCUCCUCUCCACCAGGCGCACGGUGGUGCUCCUCAACGGGGACACCGGGCCUUGGAUUCAAUGCCGACAUGGCUUGUGGCAAGGUGAUCCUCUCAGCCCCUACCUCUUCAUCAUCGUCACCGAUCUCCUACACAGGAUGCUCGUUGACCCUUGUGGUGACGAGCCCCUCCUUCACCCUCUCAUCGACGACCUCCCCUGUCCAAAGAUCCAAUAUGCUGACGACACCCUCAUUCUGGUCCGGGCAGAGGAGGGGCAGGUGCGCCGUCUCAAACAGUUGUGCGACUCCUUAGCCACCGCCACGGGACUCGCCAUCAACUACCACAAGAGCAUGUUCGUCCCUGUGCACGUCACCGCCACCAGCGCCGAUGCCCUUGCUGGCAUCUUGGGCUGCCCCGUUGCUACGUUCCCCCAGAGCUACCUGAGCCUCCCCCUCUCCGACAAGAAGCUCCCCACAUCCGUGCUCGACGCCUUCGCGAUUAGGGUUGAGUGCUACAUCCCCUCCUAGCAGGUGCACAUCCUCAAUCGCGGGGGACGACUCAUGAUGGUCAACUCCAUCCUCUCCACCCAAAUCACCUAGGUCUCCACCGUGCUGCAGCUGCCCAAGUCCACGAUGGAGAAGGUGGACAAGCCACGUCGUGGAUGCUCUGGAAGGGCGUGGCCUCGUGCACCGGGGGCGACUGCCAAGUUGCCUGGCCUAUGGUGUGCCGGCUUAAGGAAGAAGGUGGCCUCGGCGUCAUUGACGUCGAGGUUCAGAACACUUGUCUCCUCCUCAAGACGGUGGACAAGCUCCAGCAGGGCAGCGACAACCCCUGGUGAACUGGGUUCGGUUCUGGUACACGCCGGAACGCGCGUCGCGCCCCACGCCCUGCUGGCAGACAUUCCAGCAUCUGUUGCCCAUGUACAGGGACAUCACCACCGUCGUCCUCAGCAGCGGCACGAUGACCUCCUUCUGGAUCGACAAUUGGACCUCGCUUGGCCUCCUCGAUCGAGCUUUACCGGCCUUGUUCUCCAACUGCCUCGAGCCCUGCAUUACGAUCGCCGCCGCCUUCGCCACCAGGGCCCUCGUCUUGCCGUUGUGGGAGCGCCUCUCUCACGCAGCCAGUGACGAGCUCGCGACCCUCGUCUCUCGGCUGAGCGGCCUGCACCUUGGUGCCGCCCCUGACACCCGCCGCCUGGCUUAGAGGGAUGAGAUCGACGUGCGCUCAGGCGCCCUCUACUCCAUGUUGAAGCGGACGGGCUACACGGUGUCGCACUCCGACGUCAACUAGGGGAACUUCGCCCCAAUCAAGGUCUAGGUCUUUUUUUGGAUCUUCCGAUAGGGGAACACGCACAUGCGGAACUUUCUCCACUGCCGAGGCGCCACGGGCAGCCCCAUUUGCCCCUUCUGCACCGCUGACAAGGACGCCGCCCACAUCUUCUUCACUUGUCCACGCAUCACCAGCUUCUGGAGCUCGGCGUGCCCUCACGCCUCCGUCACCUGCCUCGCCAGCGCGCUUCAAGCUCUACCGCUCCCAGCGAGGGUGGCCCUCCACACCGCGACGCUGCUCCUCUUGUGAUUGAUUUGGAAUCGCCGCAACAGGAUGAUCUUCGACGCAGUCGACCAGCCCAUCGCUGCCAUCGCCCAAGCCGCCAAGGAACACCUCACCCUCUGGGUGCAUCGCGCUCCCCGCCGCCUAGACACCCUCCCGGAAGUCCUGGUGCUCUAGUCUCUAUGUGAUAUAGCGCCUAUGCUGCUUCAUCUCCCUCCUUCUACAAAAACAUCAACCCCCCCCCCCCCCCCCCAAGCUAGGUUGUAAAAUGGAAAUCCAUCAGCUUCGGCCAGACGUUCAGGUGGGCGUGCUCUGCCCCAGUUGGUCCUUCAAAAAAAAUUCGAAGCACAUCACACUACUCCUAUUCUUUUCUCUUUUUCUGCCUUGCAGGCCAGUGCUCAAAACGCCAGUCCUAUUCCGGUCACACGCUGAUCGGCCGGUUGCUAAACAAUGGUGCUGGCUGUUCUCCACUGGCAAGUACAACGGGUACGAGCACCAUCCACCGAUGCAGGACAAGUCGGCCCAAUUUUCAAUGCGAGCAGCUGAUCUGGCUCGCACACGGACAACUUACGCCACCAUGCCGCCGUGUUACGUACUCCCCCACCUCAACCCAGGAGGCCACUAGCAGUGGCUACUAUACGGACGCGUUUAUUUUAGCGAGGAUUAGGCAGGCAGGAGCAGCCUUUGUUACUGCCAGGCUGCCCUAGCCUUUGCUCUGCCUGCUGCUAUCACUGCUAGCGCCCAGUUGCCCAGAGGCCAGAGUGGUACUCGUAGCACGCACGAACUCCAUUAACAAUUCAGCAUCGGCUGCGCCGCCAGCUAGCCGUCCUGGCCGGCGAUCUCCUCCGUCUACUGUCCUGGACUCCUGGUGCGUGCGUGCCCUAGACCUAGAGCCACCAAAAGGUUUCCUCGAACAGAUUGAUGAAUUCCAGUGCCAGUGCUCACGUGCACUGACAGCCACGGUUGAGGUUAAACAAGUCUGAGGUGGCGGAAGAUUAGAGCAGGGUUGCCACAGAUGGUUGGAUGGGUUCCAAGUGGCUUCAUAGUUUAGUGUAGCUACUAAGUUCGCUGCCAUAGCAGUAACUACAAGCUGGGUGCUUGACUGCUUGAUUGGGGAUUAUUCAGACUCUCACAGCCGUUCGUGAUAGGCUAGUGUGAUAGGGGAAUACAUGUGAUUUUCUUUAAUUAGGAGGCUACUUGGUUAUUAUGUAGUAUAGGUUUAGCUUGCUGCCUGUGGUAAGCCGUAGCACGUGCUUAUUCGUGGAGGGCUAUGCUUUUUUAAGGGACUACAGACAUGGUACAUGCCGUCCAAGGAGCCCUCCUCACUUACUACUUCGCCUGCUAAUCACCUCUGCUACCGGGCUAGAAAAAGGUUUAGAUCGCAUAUUGGGGGUGAGAAAUCACAGAGUGCAGCGAGAACUCGUCCAAUGUGGUUAACAGAAAAUCCCAUGUCCAGGGAGUAAGGAAUGCCCUGUCCAAUCGCGUAUUUGGGUAUCCGCUUCUACACUGUUACCGAAGAAAAAACAUCGGAUUAUUGCAAGUACUCCUAUAUCCGUCCAUGAUGUAAAAAAAGAGGCGCGUUCAUCAUCAGUUGAUGCAUGCACGGCUAGAUGUUACGCAUCUAAUUAUCCAGCUUGAGUGAUGCUCCGUGUCUUGUCUUUCAGCACGUACUGAUCUGAAUCGUGAAAAGGGAAAACCAAACGAACGUGUGAAAUACAUCUAUCGGCCACGGCAUCUUAAGAUUGAUUAGAGAAUAAUUGUUCCAACUUCCCACACAAGUGGGCGCUAGCUAACUUGCUCGGAAAGCUCCGACGAGCAUCGGUGGCAGCUGAUGUGAGGGAGAUUAAUCACUGAUGAUGAUGACUAAAUUAGUGAAGUGUGGCUCUGAAGAAAAGGAAAGUGUGUAAAGGUUAUAGUACUCCACCAUAUCAGUUAUGGUACUGGAUGCUGGACGACAAUAACAAGCUCCCUACUGGACCUAGGAGCCAUCUCUUUCUGAUGGUACGUGCCGACAUUGUAGAUAGAGUAAUCGACGGAGCUUAAUUGCGACGGCACCUGAUUCGCGCUGCACCACACGUCCAUCAAUUCAGUUUCUAGCUAGUACUAACCCCCCAUCAUCUCGACACCGGACUCUCACCAGCCUCGCGACUGGAUAACGGGGGAAGCACCCCAUCGCCAUUGCCGCCCGUGUGGAAGAGACGAGGAGUUCUGAUUUCAGUAUCCAGACGCAUCCUUUUUUUCGUCUUCUUUUUCUUGAAAUUCCACGUACGCUCUAAUAACUAGUAAAGCUUGCGUUCCCCACUGAAUCUGAAUGAUUGAUUAGUCGCUCCGAUCCCCACCAGAAAAGCACGCGGUUAGCACACCAAAUCCGAGUCAAUGAUUAAGCACGAAGGAGAGGGAGGAGAAUAUCCUCAGAUAAGAGGACAGCGACAUGUACCGAACCACACCAUCCCGAGCGCACACACCUCUGCAGGGGUUAGCUGCCUAAGCAGGUGUGUACUCCAUCUCUCUAUUCGAUGGGCUUUGCUUCGCGGGAUCAACCGAUCUCUCUUGCCUGGUUGGGUUCUGCUCGAUCGUAACUUGAUUUUCAUGGCACUAGAUGGCCCGCGCUAAUAGCACGGGUAGCUAGUUUUUUUAUACCAUCAUCUGGAUGCUUUAUUUCAAAAUAAAUAGACAUAAAUAAUUGUAUUUAGUCGUGUCAUGGUAAAAGAUCAAUAUAUUAUCAUAUGAUAAGAUCUUUUUUAACAUGAAUUAGAGAGAAAAGGUAAUACCUUAGAUAUAAACAUAUUUUUUGGGUAUUUACUGAAACAACAUAAAAAUUUAUACAUUUUUCACUUGAAUAUAAUUGUUUAUAUAUUUUUUAUUUGUGAUGUACAUUUUCGUUUGCUAUGAUUAAAAAAUCCUUAAAUUUUAGUAGAAUGUUCAAUGUAUAUACAAAAGUAAUAAUUUAAUUUCGAGUUUGACCCUUUUAGUUAUUAUUAUAUCGAAGUCUCCUUUCCUUUCUUUGUUCUUUGAUCACCGGUUGCCACAGCCCAUACAUGCAUAAUCCCAUUUUGGCACACGGUUGUUGCACCUUUUUCCUAAUUAUAAACUCUACCCUUGGGUCCGUGAAUACGUUGUUGUGGCUACCAAACUAUAUAUUAUUAGUCUUUGUGCUCACCACCUCUCUCUCUUGCUUCUACUCUGAAGGAGCGUUGUCCGCUACAUUGUGGUCACCAAAGAUUGAUCCUUGAUUGUGACUGUUGUUCCCUCCCGUCGGACAUGCUAUGGCGCGCAUGCCAAACAUCAAUUUUCUUCACUAUUUAACACGAUUAUUUUGGAAUUUCCACCUUGUGGUUGGUGUCGUGGCCCUCAAGUUGCUCCACCAGAUCAUUCACUAUGUUGCUGGAUCCAACCACUAUUUCAUCAAAUCGACAACCUUUGUCUCCUGCGAGUGCCCUAUCGCCCAAUCGCAGGCAACAAUUAUGGUAAACCGGUGAGUUUUAAGCUGGGGACGGACAAGUUGGUUGUAUUUUUUCUCAUUAGUUUAGUUACGGUUGUUAGCCUAGCCCUACUCGCCAAUGGUAGCAAAGGUCGGCAGCAAACAACAGUACACAAUUGCAUAUAUAGCUCGUGGCACUUGAAAAUAUUUAACCCGUCGUAGGGUGAUUAUUUUGCUGGUCAAGGUGAUCCUUUCUCAAUGUGGAUGCGUGUGAAUGGAGCUGGCUGAUCGUUAAUCACUACUAUAGAAAAGGUUAUCACGAAUGGGUCAUCACUGGCAGUUCUAUCCAAACUGGUGGUGAUAAGUUUUCAUGCUAGUUCAUGAGUAGCUAGCGCGUAGUGGAAUCGAUUUUCACCACCGGUUCAUGGUAUAACCCGUCCGUGACCCAUAGCCCUUCUAUAUCAUAUCAACAUCCAUCCCCUUCUCUUCUCCCCUUCCUCCCUUUUACCUUCGAAUGCGCACCUCUCCCUCCCCACCUCUGAUCCCCCACGCAAAUAGCGCAGGUAGCUAGUUUUUAUGCCAUUAUAAAAAAAUAGAUAUAAAUAAUUGUAUUUAAUCAUGUCAUGGUAACAGACAAAUAUAUUAUCAUAUAUCUUUUUAAACAUGAAUUAGAGAGAAAAGGUAAUACCUUAGAUACAAACAUAUUUUUUGGUAUUUAUUGAAACAAUAUAAAAAUUUAUACAUUUUUCACUUGAAUAUAAUUAUUUAUAUUUUUUAUUUGUGAUGUAAGUUUUGUUUGCUAUCAUUACAAAAGUCCUUAUAUCUCCCUCCCCACGUCUCUCUCACCCCCUCCCAUCACCCCUCCGCUUGCCCCUCACUGGCAAUGAAGACCAGCGGCGAGGCACAAGGAGCGGGCAGGGAUGGUAGGCACGGGUGGCGGCAACGACGGCGGUGGGCGCGGGCAUUGGAUGCAACAACGACAGCAGAUGCGGGCCACGACUGCGGGCAUGUGCGAGGGAUGCAGCGACAACGAUGGGGACUCCGUCCCCUCACGGUACUCUCUCUCUCUCUCUCUCUCUCUCUCUCUCACUCGCUCGCUCGCUCCCCCCCCUAGCUACUGUAGUGGGUGACGGGGCUCCGGUAGCGUGGAAGGACUCUAGCGGUGCCUUUUUAUUUUUUAAUAGGCUUCACUGUCGGUUCAUGGUCCGGCGGUGAUGAAACACUACCACCACCAAUCGAAAUUCAACGGGAGGCCAAAGCGGCGAUGAUAUUGGAUUUAGGGCUGGCGGUGAUAGGCUGGUUUGGGGUAGUGGAUGGAAAUGCGUGAGGCUAGCACGGUGGGCUCAUCAUCGUGUAACCACUUAGUGAAGCUGGUCAGAUUUGUCCCAAGUGUUCUCCUCACACGUCCCAAUGGUUACGGUGGCCGUCUCACUAUCAUUGGUGCCGGCAUGGCCCUCUUUCUUGGUGAUUUUGUCGUCAUGAUCCUUCUUAUGUUUUCUCCUUCUAAUCUAUCGCCUGCACUAUGGCUUUGCUAUCUUGCACAAAGCUGCACUUUUGAGCCUGUUAUGUUGCACAAAGCUGCCUGUGUUUGUAAUGCAAUCUGCUCCUGCCUGCGUCCGCACUUCUGUUGUCGGGUGUCCGAUUUACGCACUUUGCGUCUCACUACUGUUCUGUCUCGUGGCCUUGACACGCCAACUGAAGUCCAACGAAAUGCUAAAUUUGGUCUCCUUUCAAAACUACACGAAAUUAAAUUGGAUGAGUUUUGGUCACAUCACAAAGAUACAUACUUUAAUUGAGAAAAGACCAAUUUCCAAACACUUUUUUAUGUCCCAUGCUAUAUCUUAUCAUCAUGGAGUUCGUGGAAGAUUCAAACAUGUUUUAUUUCCAUCCCAUACAAUAUUUUUUACAAAAAAUCUUAUUUUAGUUUCCAAAAUUACAUAAUUAUUGAUGCAUUGAUUUGAACUCUUUGAUUGAAUUAGUCUAGAUCAUAAUAAAUUCUAACGGUGUAUUUUUUUCCUUAACAUCCCUUUUCUCUCUCCUUGAUUUCAAUCGUUCAGUCAAAACGGGUCGGAAUCCGGAAUCAUUUUCCCUAUAUAUCACCUCUCCUACCCCUGCGUGCUGCAAGCAAAGCAAAGCAAGCCAAUGAUAGUGAAUAAAUAUGGAACCAACUUUCGUUCGCUCUUUUAAUAAAUAUAUGUAAGAUGAGCAAAGUUGGAUUAUCUUGCUGCCAUCAUCGAGCUCUUGCAUGAAACUAUCCAUCAUUACUAUCGAUCUCAUGGAUGAAACCAUCCGCUGAUGCUAUCAAGUUUGUAUCAAGUUUGUGUAUAUGAAAUCAUAUUACAUUGCUCCCGCUGUGCUCGUGGUGAGGGGCUCAAUCCCUAUGGCAAGAGCAUUAAUUCUGACAACAAUUUGCAUGUCCAAGGUGGUUGAAUUUUUACCAAAGCAUGUACCACGCCGACUAUAUCUUAGUAGCACCUUUAGAUAAAAUUCAAUCUCUUAUUUUAUCUCGACCUUAUCGAAGAAAAAUUAUGGGGAUCGAAAUAGGUUUUUUUAUAGUUCAAACGUUGAUUUUCUUCUUGAUUCCUCGACUGAGAAGAUCUUUCUUCCUGUCGCCGUAUCUAUUAUAAUAGUUUAUAUUUUUCAGUUUAGAUUUCUUUUCAUCUAUGGAGAUAUUAGAAUUUGCUCUAAUUGACAUUUUGGAUACGUGACAGUGAAUCUUAUAGUAAGGUGGUCCGCGCUAAUUAGUGCAGCUAGUUAGAUUUUUUGUUCUUAUUUCUUAAUUUUUUUUACAUGUAACAAUGUUCAGUCCGGCGGCCGGGUCCGGCCGCCGGGUGAUGCACUGCUGGUCCAAGGCACCGUUGCACGGGGUUAGGGGACCUCACCGCUCGAGGGUGCAGUGGGCUCGCACGGUGCCGCCUGUCCUUGAUCAUGAACAGCGAAGCGAAGCUAUAAAGGGAAGCGGCAGUCGUCGUGACGAUGUACGGAUGCACCGGCAGCGAAGCGAUCUGCUCUCGCUCGUCGUCGGUGGAAGCCGCGGCAACAAAUUUUCUCCCUUGGCCAAUUGCUAGUUACCACCCGUGGUCACAGGGUACCAAAUCAGCUUAUCAGCCUGGAAGGAAAGAAAGGAGCAGAGCACGCAGGCAUAGAUGGAAGGAUUAGCGAGAUUAGGGGAGGGUGACGGGCAACAGGCAACGUGAACAAAAAAAAACGACGGACAUGGCAAUAGGAGUCCACAGUCCUAUUGCCAUAUUGAUAUAUUUCUUUUAAAUUUCUAAUUCAGCUAUUUAGUAAUUGUAUUUUGUAUGGAACCUUUAAAUUAAUAUAGAUCGUUAGAUUUUCAAAAAAUUCAAUGGUGUAUAUUCAAAUUCAGUUGUUUAGUAAUUGUACUUUGUAUGAACCUUUAGAUUAAUAUAGACCGUUAGAUCAUCAUAAAAUGCAACGACUUAUAUUCUUCUCUUUUUCAGAUUAACGUGGGAAUUCCUAGACCCUCUCGAUGAACGUAGUGACUUCUUUAAAUACUAUUGUAUUAAGAUGUGGCCCGCGCUAAUAGCGCGGCUAGAUUCAUUACAUACUUAGUAAUAUAACUAUGUCUAUUACACUGUUGACUUUGAAGUAACCGCUUUGAUGCUAUAAAGAAGUGACACCUUCUAUGUCACGGCUUUUCUCCUUAACUUGUUGAGCUCAUCAAGUUUAUGUAGGAUUCUUCAUACUCAAUCAUAUUGGAUGACCAUUCAGCUUACCAAAUUAUCCUUCACUAAAAAUAUAAAUAUAUUAGUUUAUAAAUAGAGGUUGGCAUUUCACCACUCUCAAAAUGAUCCCGACCUAAUUUAUAAUUAACUUAGGUCCAUUAAAAAUUUAAAACUAACAUUGUAAUUAAACUGUAAUUGAAAAGUUAUUAAUUCAAAGAUUUUUCAUUUCACCUCUAAUGAUUUCCUAACUCAAAUCAACCUAACAUAAUAAUUGCAUAACCUCUUUUGCUUAGUUGAUUAGUAAGGACAUUUGUAUGUUGCAUACUCCCUCCGUCCCGUCGUUAUGGCUUUUCUAGAAACAUAGAUUUUGCUAUGCACCUAAAUACAGUAUAUGUCUAGAUGCAUACAAACAUCUAUGAAUCUAGAAAAACUAAAACAACCUACAAUUUAAAAUGGAGGGAGUACCUAUUCCAGCUUAUAUGUCAUGAGUGCUAGUCUUUUGUAGUUGCUGUAGGUUGCAGACAUGCCCUAUGUUUUCCGGCAUGCUGCCUCUUGCCCUGUAUUUGGUAGGUGCUGUAGCUUAUCUAUCCCUCCCUCCCUACCUCUCUCUCUAGCUUUUGCUGUGUAUUUGAUCGUCAAACUUUUAACUUGAGGUUAAUUCCGUGCUUAAAUCACUCAAAUUUCUGUACCCAGCAAUUAAUAGAGACGGGGUCACUUGUGGCUCCCACGCUACUUAUUUAGGCUGCACAAACCAUCCUAUCUUGCUUGUUAACGCAAGACGUCAUCGACUCCUCGCGCUAUCCAUCGUGGCUUGAAUAUUUUCACCUUUACAUGAACAAAAAUACUCACCAAACCGAAGCUCUAAUAGAUGUAUAUCUUGCAUUAUCUGUAGUAAGCACACAAAAGCCAUUUAUGUUCUCGCGUGACCUGCCAUGGCACACUUAUACAUGGUGUCUCCGAUCAUACAAAAGUAACUGGCAUCCUAAGUAAAUUUCCAUAUGGCGUGCUCCUAUAUGGCUCUUCAAGCCAUUUUAUUGUCAUAUCUUGUCAUAGGCAUGAUGUCAAAGUUUCCCUCUUCUUCAAACUCGACCGGGCAUAAUAGUAUUUUGUUUUGCUUUGUUUCCACCGGGCAUGCUCGCUUUUCAUCUCAGAGUAAUAGCCGGUGGUGACUAAUCCUGCCACAUGCAGCUAUGGGCAGGCACCUGGCAGCCCCCGUUGUGGGCACUGGGCAGUCCGUUUUUCCACCUGGCAGCCCCAUCCUGCCGGUACCAACUUUUCCGUCGUUGUCCAUCCUCAUGCCCCACAAACUUCUCCCAAAACAAAGUUCUUCGUCGCCGAAUUGAUCUGCAUGACCCUGAUCAAAUUUCUCCUCGCAGGGUUGAGCUCCUCGAUGUUCAAUUGAGUUCCUCAUCUCAGAUUUAGAUCAACGACUAAUCAAUGUUUCAUGACAAUAGAAUGAGCUGCUUUUGCAAAUUGAACUCCCCCCCCCCCCCCCCACACACACACCCUCCCUCUCCCUCCGUCCCUCAUGCGCCCGGUGUUUCUUCAUUAUUCCAUCAAGUUCAUCCAACGAUUUGUGGCAUGUUGUGUGCUCGCAGCGACAAAUGGUUAUUUGAUAUUGCUAGGGCUAUUGUACGCUGCUAGGACAGCAUGUAUGCUAAAACCGAAGACAUAUAACUUCCAUAGAAACAACAAAAUAUUGUGCGAUCUAUUUUUAGUCCUCAAUAGUCCUAAUAAUGAUAUUACGAUUGGUCUGCACCGUUAUAACUUGGGUGAGCCUAACUCAGCUGGUAAGGUUCCUUGUGGUGGAAUCUUCCCACCAGAGUUUGAGUCAUCACCUCAACAUCGUUGCUAGUAUUUUUUUGGAUUUAUUCUAAAAUUUAAUUGGUGCUAUUCUCUCAGUGGCAAAUGACAUGCCCAUCAAUAGCGAGGUGCUAGUUGUGCUUCAUCAAUCUCGAGAAUCUGCUAGCUCAUUCUCUCAGAGGUGCUCAUAGGUAGGGUUGCAUGCGUGUAUUCAUAGGAUCGAGUGUGCGUGCGUUUGUGAGCGUCUGCGUCUAUACCGUGUUUUAAAAAAAAACAAUCAGUUGGCAUUUUUUUGAUUUAGAUAUUCGUAAUUGCAUUUCAUGUGAAUCAUUUAUUUAGGUACUAUUUUUUUUGCACGGAGAUUAAACUACUAAUUUGCAUAAUCUUUCAUUUGAAUUGUAUUAGGCACGGUCUCUCUAAUUUAAUAUAGACCAUUAGAUUAGGUUCUUUCGUUUUUUUAUUAACGUGAUAAUUUUUGUGUCCUCUUGAUGAAUGUGUAGCUUUUUUUAAUACUUUUUAUUAAGAUAGCUUAUUUUCAUAAAUCUAGCAAAAGUAGUGCUACUAAUUUGACCGUAUUUAAUCCAUAUGGACACCAAAACAUUCGGUAAUUAGUACAAACCAUUGCCGCCCUUCCUUUCACACAUAAACACACAAAGAAAAAAGAAAAAAAUGGAAAAGAGAAACGCAAUGCAAUCAGGUUGAGUAGCAUUGAACGGAUCUGUGUGUAUCAUCAUUUGAUGAAAUGCCUAAUUAGUAUUUUAGCAGGAGAGCUAAUAAAUAUUCAUCAUGUGAAGCUUUGUAAUUUAUUAAUUAUAUUUGUUAUCGACUAUUUAUUUAACUAUUUUACUUUUCCAAUCCGUGUAAACAUGAACUGCUAAAUUCCUUAUUUUUUAAUUUUUAAUUCCGAAUUUGUGUAUUUAUUAAUUGUGUGUGUAUUGGACAUAUACUCUUUAGGCUAGUCUAGAUCGUUAGAUCUUCGUAAAAUCCAACUGUGCAUAUUCUUCUCUUUUUUAAUUGAUGUGGUAAUUUUUAGUCCCUUUCGAUAAAUAUGGUGGUUUCUUUUAAUACAACGGAUAGAUGGACAGCAUGAGACUGGGACUGAUAACCUGACCUUCUCAUCGGAAACAAUUCGAAAACCCGACGACUUUGGCCAAACAAACGGCAACCAGUAGCCUCACCUACCGUUUGUCGUUUGCGACGGAGCUCGACGUAGCUUUGCCUUUGAUUCGCCGGCCAAUAGCUCGACGGGAUGGGACGGGACGGGCAGGUGCCAUUCCGGAAAGCGGAAAAGGGUUGCGGCUCGGCUUCAGGUGCUCGUCUACGCGGGAUUCGCUGACAACGCCCAGCCGCCACGCCACGCUCUCUCUUUCUUUUCUUUUCUUUCCCCCCACCAUCAGGCAUCGGCGAGCGCGUUGCUCUCGAUGCGCUGCGCUCCUCGGCUCGACACGUUCCCGCGGCUGGCGCCCGACGGCAUCGGCUCCGGCGCUGGCGCGGCGGAACGAGUGUUCUGCUCAUCGGCGCCCAAAGGCAAAGGGUGAACAGAACUGGGGUGCCAGAGCCUGGCCUGGCCACCGGCGGCCGGACGUACGGGCUGCGAGGACUGCAGGAAGGAAGCAGUGCUCCUUGGGCUUGGGCGCACGGUUAAUAACUCUCGGAUGUGACGGGUGACCACAGCAGCACGGUUAAUAACUAUCGGAUGUGACGGGUGCUGCACAGUACUGCUGUCCUCUCUCCCUCUCUCGUCGUGCACCCUCGUGUUCGAUUCUAUUCGGCCCACUGACAACUUCGGGCUUUGCUCCUCAUCAUAUACUCCUACGUGUGUGGUACUGCUACCAUUUGAGGCCCAAAUACGUCGAGUUGACUGUCGAGGCGCCAGGACGUUUCACAAAUCCGCUACCACAUCACAAAUUACAAAGGAGAAUCCUAGUAUCCAAACACAGGUAUAAUGACUACUGAUUGAACUAUAUUUCCAGCAAAAAAAAUGUUGGUUUCUGUUUUAUCCGGAUCCUCAAUGGUACGAUGGAGCAACGCUGACGGGAUCAUGCAGCCCAAAAGUCCAGUACUUGGCUGCUGUCCUGGUCUGAUGCAUUAUUCACCGACAACUGUACGUGCCGCACCAUCAUCCACCAUCGUGUUUGCGUCCCACGUCGUCAACUGGUCGUGUCAUGUGUCAUAUCGAUCUCUCGUGCCUAAAACGUGACGUGAGGAAAAGAGUUUCGGUUCGGUGCGCCCCCGUCUCGUCGUCCCGUCAGGCUUGUGUGAUCGCAGGCCCCAUAUGGUUUGGUUGGGGAUGGAGUUUUCGGCCCAGAGAAGCAAAAGCGCGAACGAACACCUACGACAAGUGAUUUUGGGCCGUGUCGGCUCGCGGUAGCGAAUUUGAGAAUUAACAGUCUUUUCCCAUUUCUAUUGGAUGUUGUUGUUUUCCAUUUUCUGUGUUUUUUUUAGAUCAAAGAGUUUUCCAUCUGUCUUGAUGAGGACUUAUGAGCGCACCCUACAGCUAAAGGAGUACCGUUUUCUUCGGUGUUUAGCGUUUUCUGUACUAGCACAACCGAUUGAUGGAUGGGUUCAAAAGCUAAAGAUGUACGUUAGGACGUCGUGGAAGGAAACCUUUUAGCGACAUAUUACCACCACCUGUCUACUAGCCUGAGCGUUACCACUCUCGAAAACAUGUCGAACCUCUGAAUUUCAGAUGCAUGGUUGCAAAUUUAGUGCAUAUUCAGCUAAUACUAUUGCCUUUGCGUUAUCAACUCAUCGAUGAUGUCCCUAAUAGUCUAAUCUUUAUUUAUUUAUUUCAAUAUCCAAUAUAUUAGUCACACUGAAAUUCAAAAAAAAAAAGGAAAACAAAGAUCGUCUUAAACAUGGCCAAGGCGCUAAACGUCAAACGAGAGCAUUGUUAGACACCUGCCCAACGCAACUCGUUAACUCCUUGACUAAAAAUCCAUGUUAUGCCGGACCGGCAUAACGACCCACGCGAUUUAACAAAGAUCCAUUUCGUAAUUGAAAAUGCCUGUGAAUAAAAAGAAGAGAUUGCACAUGCUCAACAAUGACAGUCUUUAGUGCACAGUAUUAGAAUUAGAAUCAGGGUCAAAAUAACCAAUAAGACUAACAACAAACUAUCUAAACUUUAGCCCCGUUGAUUUGCAUAUACUCCAUUCGUUCCAAAUUGUAGGUUAUUUUGAUAUUUCUAUGUACAUUUUUUUUCUAUGUAUCUAAAUAUAGUCCAUAUCUAGAUGCAUAAUAAUGUCUAUAAAACUAGAAAAGUUAAAAUGACCUACAAUUUGAAACGGGAGAAGUACCGAACGGUGAAGCAUAUAAUACAUCCUGACGUGUAUAUGAAUUUGAGCCGAUACCCAAGUACCCAACACUGAAGCAUAAAGCAUGUUUGUGGUUGUAUAGUACUUACUGCUAGUACAUCGCAAGCAGGCCAAGAGUUCGCAAGCAAAAUAGCCGUAUGGCUGUAUAUAUGAAUUUUACAAGAUUUUUUUUAUAAACAGAAGAAUUCUACAUUAAGUUUCUAAUUCAUUUCUCCUCAAUUUUUUUCCUAAUUCAUAAAAAUGUUUCGUGACCUUUUCAAGAUAAGAUUGCAGUUACGAACAAAAAGAUUUUACGAAGAGCAGAUUCCCGCUACUUACAUUUUCAUUCCAUUUCAGAACGUAAGAUUGCUAUAUACAUUUGUACACAAUCUACCGAAACGGAAUUGCUAGCAUCCUUCUAGUUUAAAAUUGAGGUCCUGAGUGCUAAUUUUGAAGGCAAUUUUCCCUCCAAAACGACCCCGGGACGACGGAUCAAAAGCACGGCGUGAGCACGUUGAGCAGCGACACCCUCGCGUUAACAAGCGCCCGGUACACCUGCUCGCAGCCGUCUUCCGCCGCCACGACGCACUCCUCCAGCCUCCGCAGGCGUUCCAUGGCAGCCUGCCUCUCCUCCUCCUCCUCGCUGCAGCACUCCUCCAAAGGCACCUCCUUUGCGCCGGGUCCGGAUUCGCUGGCGGCGACGGCCACCGUACGCCGGCGCCACCGAAGGAGGUCGGCCACCCACCACACCGGCACGGCAGCCACCUUCGCCGGGGAGACCGCGAGCGGUGACGGCAUUGCGCGCGAGGACGAGGAGGCGGAGGCGGAUGCGAGCCCGGCGAAGAUGGCGGCGGACGCUGCCGCCGCGGCGCACGUGGCGGCGGCGGCGGCCUCGGCCACCGCGGCCUCGCCGGAGUCCGACGCCGCGGCGGCGGCGGACGGGGAGCGGUGCGCGAGGCAGCGUAGCGUGGAGGCGAGGCGGGCGAGGUCGCGGUCGGAGCGGCGCCUGGCGCGGAGCGCGGCGGCGAGGCGGGCGGCGUCACGGCGGCGGAGCGCGGCGUGCGCCUCGGCGAGGAGCUGCCGGAGCGCCAGGAGCGCCUCGCGGAAGCAGCCGUGGGCGUCGGCGAGGAGGAGGAGGUCGUCGAGGAGGCGGUCGGUCCAGGGCGCCGCCGCCUUGCCCCGGCGCUGGAGCGGGUCCCGCGCCUGCGGGUGGUGAAGCAGGUCGGUGAGCCCCGCCAGGAGGCGGCCCAGGUGGCCCGCCCCGUCGCCGAUCCACGCCGGGCUGGCCUGCGCCGGCUCCUCCGUCCAGGCGAGGAGCGCGUUGGCGGACUCGUGCAGGCCCGCGACGGCCGGGUGGAAGCGGCCGGGCAGGCUGUUGGAGCGGACGCGGGAGUAGGAGAGCUUCUUGUGGCGCGUGCGCCGGAGCAAGGCCGCCUUGGGGACGGUGAGCGCGGUGAGCCGCCGCCGGAAUCCCACUGCCAUUUUGCUUUGAUUUGCUUUCCGGCUUGCUGCGGAAGGAGUCCCGGCGUCGAGGCGGUAUGGGUCGCUCGCGGUUUGACUUGGUGCCCCGGCCGUCUGGGUGGUGGUGUAUGGCAACUUGGAUGGGGGCGUUUAUAUAUAUAGGGGGUAUCGCGCAUGAUUGGUAGAGCCCGCACGGGUGGGUUGGGUUGGCUCUGGCAUGACCGCAUGAGAGCAGUGUAUGGUGCAUGGCGAAGCGAGCUAGUAGCUGACUGGCGGAGUGGGACGUUGGAUUUUUUUACUUUGGUGGGGAAGCUUACGGAAGGAAGAAGGGUGGAAGCGGGAGGGGAGCCUGCCGUUGGCCGAUGGGACAUGGGAGAGUGCCUGCCGGGACGGACGAGGAGGCCCCGUGCGCGCAGUGCAUAACAUCCCUGGAUGGCAGUGCGUGGGCGCGGGGCUGGUGGCGCCCGCCAUCUGUGGCGCGGACACGUGCUCCCAGUCGGCGGUGCCUGGGGCCCCGCGCCGCUGCUCUCCACCCUCCCCCGCUCGGCGCGCGCCGGCCCACCUCGCGCACAGCUCACGCCCGGCCCCCCGGGCAUCCCAAUUCAAUGCCGUCAUGGCCGCGCGCGUCGGCGUCGCGCCCCCGGACCCAACUCCCCCCACCGAGCUUCAUCCAUCUCUCGCCAUUCGCCCGCGCUCGUUUAAUUCUUCGAUCCCGAGCUCGACCAUCCGCGCGUGGGGGCGCCGGGCGAGGUCCGGGACGGGUGCACCGCACUGCGUCGCGUCGAGGCUGGGGCUCGUGCGAUCGGGACAUUUGGCGCCGGUUGGCACGGACGGGACAGAGCGAUCCAUCCGUCGCCCGCCGUAUCUCGCGCGUUUAAUGCGCGUCAUCCAUGUCCAUCGAUCGCUCUGGCCUCUGGACUUCUGGAGGAGGGGGGCCGUACGGCAGGAUCGGUUUCGUGCAAAUCAUUGAGGCCUGCCAGGCUGCUCGCCUGCGACGCCAUACCCUCGAUGAAUUGGACAACAAUUGGUGCUGUGGGGUUUCAUCUCAGCCUAUCGGGGCCGAAUCAUUGGCGUGGCAUGCCGCCCAUCUCUGAACCCAUCCUACAGUUCCCUUGUGCUCUUGUUCGGUUGGAUCGCGCGUCAGAUCGUUAUCACACGGGCCGCAUUAUUUGUGUGUACGCCUGGCUCCUCCCAGCGAGCAGGUCGCAACCUCGCUUAGCUGACCGUGUAUUGGCUGUUACUUGCUCCGACAGUGCAAUUCUUGUGGUUGCCCUGUCACCGUCUUUUCCUUUCAGUUGCGCCUAUUGGUUUCCAUUGCAUUUCACGUUCAGUUUACUGGCAGUCUGGCACCUAGUGCUUCCAUGGCCUUCUGCUUAUGAAUCGAAAAUCCUCUCAAACUGCAUGAGGGCGCAGAAAAGAAUCUUACCAGCGCAGCAGUGCGCCGUCAGUAGGAUGCACACAUGCUCUUUGCAGACUAGGGGCAGAUGGCCAAAUGUAUAACUGAACUCUUCAACGGCCACCUGGUAAUCUGUACUAUGGAUCAAGCAUAGUAUAACUGUAUAAGCACGCCUACAUUUUACUAACUAUAUACAAAAGCCUCCAAGAACCCUUCUUUAUGGAUUCCUAGAAGAUACUCCUCCGGAUAGGCAGCUGCUAGAUCGAUCUGCAUCGAUGCGUGGGACUAAAGAAAUCUGAAGCUCUGAGCCCCCCGUGGCCUACCAGGGACAAUCAAGGGCAUAAACAGGGGCGCGCAAUCAGAUCAGAUGCAGUGCACUGCAGAUAGUUUAAUGGAGGACAACUGUACUCCGAUUAAAGAUCGAUUAUAUCCACAAAUCGAUCCAUCUCUAAGUCCUCAACCUGUCUUCAGGUUCCCGAGUAGGGCCGGCGCGGCGUCUCCUUCGUCCUUCCCUCGACGAGGAGGAUCGGAACGAAGGGUGCUGCUUCUUCCAGCAGCGUCCGUCACUGUCACUGCAAGAGCGACAGAGUUGUGUAUAUGGCGCCAAACCAUCGGUGACACGUACGCGCUGUGGUCAAUCCGUGCGAGCUUUUUGAGAGUGACGAGGUUUACGUACGCUAAAGAGCUAGCGAUCCUCGAGUGACGAUGUGGAUGCUGUCUUCUCUAAGGACUUGGGCUUGCGCUGCUGCGCCUGGCACUUCACUAGCCAGUGCGUGUAGAAUAGGGGUUAACUGAAGAUUCAGUUCAGUUUGGAGGUGCAGUUCAGUUGAUGCAGCGGUAGCAUAUGUACAUAGGAAAAUAGAAGAUUUCCCAAUGCGAACCUAGGAGUUUGGAGGCGUAGGCCAUUUAACAACUCGGGACGGUCAACACGAAACCAAUCGUAUCCUAAUUCUCUCGUUUGCAGUGACACAAAUUUGACUCGCUCAGGCUUCGUGCAUGAACGUACUCUCAGGAACAGGAAGUACGCAAUACUCCAUAGCAGACAUGGAAAGGCUUUAAAACGAAGGUUUCAUCCAUGAAAAGUGCACGUCACUGGAGACCGAUUGAACUCCGAUGUGGAUCCCUGCUAGUUUAACGAGCCCCGUCGUCCAGCUACUGGGAGAUCGUUUGGGAUGACUGCAUGUGCCCAUUCUCUUUUGUCUCCAAUGCCACCGGCCGCCCGAUUUGGUCGGCUAACUUCAGCACGGUUGGGGAAUCUGAUUUUUUGUAUGAUGUGAGCAUGUUCAGCUCGAUCGUAGAAAAUCUAACGAUGGGUGUAAGCAUGUGAUGUGCGGCCGCUCCUAAGACUCACUCUACUAGUCUACUGUGCUGCAUUGUUUAGUAUGACGACGGCGAAUCAAAAAAAAAAUUGACAAAAAGAAGUGAUCUGCUGAAGGACAAGCGAGAAUGGAGGUUAGAAUUAGCAUGUUGAUUCUUCAAGCCGGUACCACACAUAACACAUGCAGACUAUUGCUGCGCACAAUUCAACACAUGUAGCAUGGUUGGAAUGCACGUCAUAGGGUGCGUUUGGUUUGUUGAAUUUAAUGGUUCAUGGAUAGAAUGGUGCAUUUUAGAUGGGAUCAUCCAGCACAGGAUGGUACACCCACAUGUGUUUGGUUGCUUGUAUAUAAGACGUACAGGUUCAUACAUGUUCUUGUUUGGUUGGAUGUACAAGGUUGGCCUUGGCAUAAUGAAAAGCAUAUUCUGCCACUCUCAAACUAGUUUGGCGGGUAAUGAUUUUCAAACUUUCAAUAACACCUCUCACAACCCGCCAAGACAAAUGCCAGACAAAUUUAAAACUAGCUUGACAUGUGUUCUGCCAGACAAAUGCCACCUUCACCAAUAUUGCAACUGGGAAACAAACAAACAGAUGUAAGCCUUCGCCAUAUCAAUGCUCAAUUGACUGAACUUGAUAGAAGCUAGUCUACCUGGGUGUUAGGCCCAAGCCUCCAAUCAAACCAGUACAUAUAUCACUAAUAAUGUCACCAUAAAGAUUCAGCAUCACUAAUACAUCAAAAAGACCAGGAUUCUUCACAAGCUGCAAGCAGAUGCAGUUCAUAAUCAGUUGAGUCAUUGUCAGCGCUGCUAGAACAUGUAAGAAAGAUAAUUGAUUCCAAACAGCACAAGCCUGAUGAUUCAGGCAGGCUGCCAAUAUCACGAGCGCCCCAACAAUCAACAAAACAAUGGAUACAAUCGACUGAUAGAACAUACCGUCAUACAACAAUUGCUCCUCAUAUUGAAUUUCAGGGUACUUCUCACAACCUGGAGAAAAAUCAGCACACAAUGAAAAAGAGUCCAGCUCAGAAUAAUAGAAGCAACGUGUCUUUAACAAAGCCUACCUGAUGCUCAAGACCACUAUACUCUCCUCCAGUAAUUUCAUGAAUUGUCACAAGUUUAGUCACAAAAAUUCCACCGAGACAGCCCAACAAAGCCUCAACAACCCACGUACCCCACUUCUUCCACCUUCUCCAUCCACAUGCCAAUGCCAUACACCCUUGCGCCCCUGCUCGCUCAGCGCUGCCAGCGGCCAGCUCCUACCUCCUUCUCUAUCGUGUCCCUCCUUGGCCGCCGCCUCCUUCGCGACGCCGCCCCUGCUUGCUCCUCCUCCACGUCCGCUAGCCCCAGCCUUCUCCGUAUCCGCCAGCCCUAGCCUUCUCCUCCGCGGCCGCCAACCCCGGCCUCUUUCUCUACCGUCGCUAGUCCCAGCCUCCUCCGUUGCCGCCAGCACCGGGCCUUCUCCUCCAUGCCGAUGCUCCCGUCUCCGCCUCUGUAGCUGUUGCUGGACGACAUCCCCGCCUCUCUUGCCACUGCCGCCACCCCUUCCUAGCGCAUCUGCGCGUCGCCUUCCACUGUCGAUGUCCGGGCGCCACCUAGGGGUACCACCUACCCACUAGGCACCGCGGUAACCCCCCGCAUAGCGCAUAAGCGCGUCUAGGCGGCCGCGGAAUACCGCCUUCUUGAACAUUAACCACCUCAAAGGUAACUAAAAUGAACAAAACUACUUGGAUAGAAAAUUACCUUGUGGGAGCAAUUUUCUCGUGUUACCCCUCCUAAUCAGGUGCAAGAUGUGGGGGAUCCAGAGGGGGGAGGGGCUAAGCUCAGGCUCGGUUUGGUAGGAGAAGGGAAGAAGUGAGGGAGGAGGGAGAAGGGGGAGGCCACGGCCCAUAUCUAUAUAAGACUGAGUCACACCAAAGCAUGUGGCACGACUCCGCCUCAUCCACAAGUUCAAGUUCACAAAUCACUACUACCAGUUCGCAUCUCACAGUCACAUAUCAAUAUUUGCACAUGGAUCCUACUGCCGUGAUGUUCUCCCCGAGCGCCCCCUCCGCCGUGUGAGAUUGAGAAAGAGAGGGGGGAAUCUGACCUUGUUGGGCCCUAGGAGACGAACAUCCCGAAACAACAGCCCGCUGCACCAUCUCACCUCGAGCACUCGGGGCCCAAGCAUGACAGCAGGGGCACAAUACGGACUAUGAUGUGCUUGGGUUGUGACUAAAUUACGGGCCUCGUACCAUUUGGCACGGCCUAUCUGCAAUCUUUAUUCAGCAAAUUGGGUGCUCUUUUUGGAUGGUUUACUGGCUUUAAAUGAUCCGGUUUACUUGCGAAGUGUAGCCAAUUUGGGUUUUACGAUGACACUAACCAUAGCUAGCUCUUAUUUUCCAUGUUUGUCAACUCAUCAAAUAGAUAGUAUAAUUGUCGACUUCUCUAACAGUGACACUGCUCAAAACCAACGUGGGUUCCAAAACAAAGAAAGAUAAUUGGAGAAGAUAAAAUACUGCACCAUCAAAGAUUUUUUUUAUAAGUUACGCCAUCAAAGAUUGGAUGCGUGCUUCAUACUCUCUUAAAAGUCAGUUUCUCUUUCUCCUCUUCCUCUCUCCUCCUCUUCCUCUCUCCAUGUACUCUCUCCACAUAGGACAUCAACUCUUUCUCCUCUCCCUCUCUCCACGUAGGACAAUUGAUGUGCUUCAAACUCUCUUAAAAGUCAGUUUCUCUUUCUCCUCUCCCUCUCUCCGCAUACUCUCUCCACAUAGGACAAUUGAUGACACGUAGUAGCUAAGAGCUAGCUACAUGGACUUAUUGGAGAAGGCCUAAUAUCUCCACAGUUUCCUGCACAGCACAUCGUUCUGGGCAUAUCACAGCAUAUGUGCAGCUUUUCAUUCAUGUUUGGAUAACCAUCUAUGGUUCCAGUUAUGAUUUUUGUGCUGAUUAUGCCUAGAUUUGAUUUUAUUCUUGCUAACCUCGCAAAGCAUGCAUAAGGAAUUCCCAGACGCAAAUAUCUCCCACUAAAUGUGUACAAAAUGCUUAAAAUUGACUAGGUACUUGUGGAGGCAAUGCACUCCUGAUAUUGUUUGGAGCGCCAGCUGCCUACUGAUCCAUGCCCAGCAAACUUUGUCUGCAAAAAUCUAGCGGCACCUAUUACACUAACAAAAAGCACAUGUCCAUCAACCUUAGUCUCUCAAACUAAGGCGCACUAUCACUGAAAUAUGGAGUCAUCGAUUCACAAGUAGUGCAUUCUGAAGAUUCUGACAGCAACCGCUAGGGUUCAUCCAGCAACUUGCCUCUCAAAAGAUUCUGCCCUUCCACCUCCAUAUCUUAAAAGCACCGUCAUCCAUCAUGUUCCUCUCAGCAAUCUUGGCGUCUAGCUUCGAAUCAAAAUAGAUCCAGUCCUCAUCCAAUACAUGCACCAUGUCAACAUGAAACUGGCAGGAGCUAAUGAGCAACUCAUUGCUGAUGCUGUGUUCUCCAAUAGCCAUUAUGUUGAAAUCCUCACCAUUCCCAUGAUACACUUCAUCACACGGAUGCACAAUCUUUAUUCCAUAGUAUUCACAGUCAAAGCAGCGCACUUCCCUCGAAAACAAGAGUGGUUAAAAUGGGUUAUCAGCCAAGUAUAAAUGAAAUAGACAUGUAAAUAAAUAGAAGCAAGAUAACAUAUCAGUUUUUGUCAAAAUAAAACAGCAAGCCACUUUGUGUUUUGCAUAGUGCUAACAUAUUAUUGAAGUUUCCAUACAAAUAAGAUUACUAUCACUCAUCCAAAUUUUAGUUAGCUGAGCCUCAAGCAUUUAGAUUCAGAGUGGCAAGUUUGGGAAAAAAAAAUGAGAAUAUACAUUCUACCUGUGAGUUGUUAGAUAAGAGCAGAAGUUGUCGUUGGACUGGAACAGUUAUAAUCUAUCAUAGCUUAACUGAAAAAAGUCCAUUCUCAUUUCCGAAUGUUCCUUAUCAAAUAUCUAUCUGACACAUCAGCAAAGGAAUAUGACUUAUUAAGGGCAUUCAAGAUUAAUCAUUUCAACCAAAGAUUUGUUAUGAAUGUCCAGGCCCAGUUGAAUCAACACAUUCAGAUUCAGUGGAAUCGUACAAGACUGAUUUGGCAUCUUCCCCACAGGAAAAAAAAACAUAUUUUCAAGACCACCUGGCAAUGUGUUGAUGAGAGAUACAAAAUGUCAAAACUUACCGGAAUCAAUUGAAGCAGAAGAUAAAGAGAAACACAUUGAUUCCUCUUCCUCAUCAGCAUCAUUGCUACAUUCAGCAAAGAACAGUAUAGGAGUAGUGCUAGCAACAUUUGAUCCCUUGGGUAUUGCCCAAAAGUUGAUAUGUGACCUUGCACCUUCGCUUACAUUAGGAUUCACACCGCAAAUAAUAUGAAUUUCAAAGUGUCCCUGCAUAUAGCAGUUCAGUAGACAGAAUAAAUUGAUAAAAUUACAUUUAACCAAAUAAUAGUGAAAUUUACGAAACAAAAACAACAGAAAGGAAAUGCACUGACCCCGUUUUUCUUGGAAUAGUUGCUCAAUGCAGCAUUAACCUUGCUGGCAAAGAACUCUUGAUCAUCCUGAAACUUCUUUCUGAUGUCUGAUAUGAAUCUUUUCUGGUUCACAGAUAGGAUCUCUUCCUGGUCCAGUGGUGAAACCUGCACCUCAAACAAUGAUGACAGAGCCAUGCCGAGCUGCUCAACUUCACUAUUUGAGAGUGCACAAUCAUUCAACAAAAACGAUAACUCAACCGGUGCCAUUAGCAGGAGUGACAUGGUUAGCUUCAACAAUGCGUCAGGAUCAGGGUGCCAUGAGUUCAGCGCGGCAUUGCUAUAGGCUUCUUGGUACGCACCAGACAUAACAUGAUCAUGCUGUUCUGCCAUUGUGACAGCUGAAGCAGCAUCAAUAUUGCUCACAAGCAAGUACCAUAAAGCUUCGUGUUCUGUGAGUGUAUUGAAGAGGCCACGGAGAAAGGCAACCAGGCCAUAAAGAGAGCAGCACUCUAUGCGCCGAAGUGUCUUAGUGCAUAUCAUAGUGACCUCAAAAUCACAGUGAGUGGGGAAUGUAGCAGCAUACCAAAUUGUGUUGAGAAUGAUGUUGGAGACAGGAUCCAUUGGGCCAUAACAAUAACCAGCCCUGAGGAGGCUGCUGUGGUGACACUUGCGCAAGACACCUCCCGGUAGACGGGCAAGUGCUUCCAGGUAAUGUGCAUGAAUUUUGUCAAGGAGCAAGAGCUUCAAUGUUUGAGUGUAGCGGAAUGUUGCAGUCACUUCCUUCCUACUCUCAGUAUAUUCAGCAGAGGCCCCAGAUGACACCUCCUUCGCCUUUCUCUUCCUCCUCCCCCUCUUUGUAUAUUCAGAAGAGGCACCAGAUGGCAGCUGCUUCACCUUUCUCUUCUUCCUCAUUUCCACAUAUCCAGCACAGCCCCCUGAUGGCAGCUUCUCCUUCUUUCUCUUCGUCUUCUUCCUGGCAUCAUGAUACCGCGAACCAGCAAGCUGCAAAGGUUGCCAGUAACAGAGAUCUGUGAGCUCGAUGUUCCUGGGCUCUCGCUUUAGCAACUUGCUGAGGCGCUUCAAAUUUGCAGACGAGAUGGGGCGGCCCUUGUGCAGCACGGGCAGAAUCAUGGAGGCAUUGUCCAGCUGAGCUGCCAACAACUGCGACGCUCUCAGAAAGGUCGGUGGUUCAGGGUGCUUUGCAGAGACAGCAGCACAGCCAAGGGCUACCUUGGUGGUGAGGGAGAUGACACUGAACCCGGGUUUGCCUCUCUGUGGGUGGAUGCUGCUGUUACGGUCCAGCAAGAUGAGCCGCACGGCGGCAAGGAGGUCAGCACCGGCCAAGCGCAGGUAGCGCAGCGCUUCAGUCUCCGCGAGGUAGCGGAAGUAGAAAAUGAGGAAGCUUACAAGGCCUUCGAGCGACCGCCGGGCGACGGUCAUGCGUUCGGCUGUCUUUGCGGACAGCCGGAGGUGGAGGAAGUCGUCGGUAUCGCUGACGAUCCUGGACAAAACUGACUCCCUCGUGUGCGGUUGGGCCGCCUUCUCCUCGUCAUCAUCGUCGUCGGGAUUGGUGGGCGUCGGUGAAGGGGGGGAGUAUGAGAUGGCGUUGGCGAUGAUGUUGGAGACCGGAUCCAGCACGCCGAAGCACACGCCGGCGCUGAGAAGGCGCGGGGCCAGAGAGGGGAUCUCCUCCGUCGGCAGCUGGUCGAGCGCCGCCUUGUAGAAGUCGUAGAUCUGGUUGAGCAGCGCGCGUAUGUCCUUCUUCACGGCCUCCUCAGUCACUGGCACGGUGGCAGCGCCCUCGCCGAUUCGGCGGAGACGCUUGCGAUGGGACAUCUCUAUCUUCUCCAGCGACUAUGUAUUGCGGUCUAGUCGAGGCGUUCCUGGCGGGCAGCCGGGAUAGGUGGGCGGCGGCGGCGGCGGCUGAAACCCUACACAGCGGGGCUGCACGGCGGGUCCGGGUCGCGCGGCGUCGGGUGGCACGGGGGGAGACGGCGCCGGGUGGGGAACGGAUCCGACGGGCGGGGCCCGUGGGUCAGCGUGGAUACGUGCACCAUGUCAACAUGAAACUAGCAGUAGCUCCUCCUUCGCGUUCUUCCGCAUUAAUCUCCCAUCGACUAUGACGUAACGCUUGCUGCGGUGAAUAAGGCGCUCCAUCUCUAUCUUGUCGGUUGGCACCUCUGUGGUGGUGUGGUGGAAGUGCGCGUGAUUAGAAACUGAAUGAUAACACAGAGCGCAGAGACACGAGGUUUAGAUAACUUUGGGACGUCUAGACGACGUAAUACCCUAAGUCCUUUGUUCUGGUGAAUUGUAUUGAUGAGAUUCGAUGCUUGAGGGGGUUUCCUACCCGCCUUAUAUAGAUGGGGGGUAGGGUUACAGAUCGGUUAGAUCUAAACCUACUCGGUUAUAAGAUAAACUUUACAAAGGAAGCAAAAUCCCUUACGUUGCCGAACAAGUCUAUCUCUAUCUUGAAGAUAUCAUCUAGAAGUCUUGUAGUACGCGUCGACCAGUGCCGCGCACCACACGCCUUAAUCUUAUGGGCUGAACCACCCCUGACGAUGCGACCCAUGUACGAUCAUGUGGGUAUCUUGAAUUAUACCCCCACAGAGCCUAAGGAAGAACGUCAACUCUCCCUUCAUGGACAUCUCAAACUCUCUACUCAUGAUUUCUCCAAACUUGACGACAAGAAAAUGAGAAGAACCUCCAAAGAUAAUAUCAUCCACGUAAAUCUGAACUAACUAGGUGUCAUUGCCAUACUUGAGGAGAAACCACGUUCUAUCAACUGACCCUAUUGAAAAAUCAAAAUUAUUUUCAAGUAAGAAGAAUUUUAGUCUCAUAUACCAAGCUCGAGGAGCUUGCUUGGCUGAUGGGAGAAUGGUCCUGCAUGUGCCGGCAACAAUGUGUGCCGUGUAGCCUGCUUGUACUUCUGCGUUUGUAUGCUGUCGUGGGGUAGCCCUGGGUGCUCCAGGUCCUUUCCUGGACUGCGCUUGGGUGCUCCCAGUCCUUUCCUGGACUGCGCUCGGUUGGUUUUGUCGAUCGUACUCGUCUGGUAGCGUUCGUUCUAGCGGUCGUUGCAAACAUGUACUGGAACCUUUUGCUGUAAUUUCGUUGCUGAAAAGUAAUGAAAUUCAGGAGCGGUCCCUUGUUUGGAAAAAAAAAACAUACAAACCUAAUUUUUGAGUGGCAUCGUCGCAAUCUUACGAGUUACGACUAAACAACAUAUCCACUGGCACGAACGAAAAGUAAGGACAAUAACCAGAGGCCAAACAUGUACCAGCAAUCAUCUCCAGGAACGGUCGCUCGGGGAAAGCAAACACGACAGUCCUGCCAAUAAUACAUCCAGAAUAUUCACCAAGAGGCAUACUCCUACACAUCAAUGACCACGCUACCAUAAAUGUCAGGGUGAUGGUUUGGACGUUUGGUGGGCAUUCUGGAGUAUCAGUUCCCUUGUCAAGAAGAUGGUCGAAGAGUUGGCGGUGGUGAUCUCAUCAAAAGCCACAUCAGGCACCACGAUGGAGUACAGAUGUCCCAAAAAAGUAGAAACAAGGUAUUGGCAAACACCUACUGAAAUGAGUCCUAUCAACCGAAUGUUAAGCACGGAAACACUAGGUCACUUCUCUGUAUCUGAAGUUCUGACGCAUUCCCAUCAAGAGUUCAAGAGGAAAAGAGUAGGACAGCUAAACCAUCUGUCAUCAAAUGAAAAGAGAUCAGAACAAAAGAGUAAAGGACCGUGCAUUGACAAAUAUAUGAAUCCAAAAGCCCACGUUGGGCCAAACACAAUUAUAAAGCAUCUACAAAACGAAGAACCCACAUUCCAAGCAGAUGCAAAAUUUCCUCUAGGGUUUCAGAAUUAACAAAAAUAGGAGCACGAGGUCAUGAUCCAGUAUAGAAAAGAGAAGCUCAACUCAAGCACAUUAAUGCAUUCAGUAGCAACACGAGCAUUCAUGCUACUACAAAAUUAACAUAUGAAGAAUCUGAGGGUAUACCAAGCUAACAACAACAAAUGAACAAAUCGUGCAACCUGGAUGUAAUUGAGUAAAAGGCAAUAACCCACUAACAAUCACAGCAGACUGACAUGGAGUCACUAAUAUCACAGUAGACUGGCACUAAGCCACUAACAUUGCAGCAGACCAGUGCUACCAUACAUACAGACUACACACAACAAACAAGAUGGACUAAAUGGUAGAAGCAAAAGCAUUCAGAUCUGUAGCCUCGAGUCCCAAAUGAGAAAACUAAGUGAUAACUGAAAAUUUAAAACUAAUUCAUGAGAGAGAAAAUAAAUACAAUGUUUACGGAAUUUUAUCUACCUUCAGAAAUCAACUCGAAGUAAUAGAUGAAUCACCUGCAUCACCGAAAGUAAACAAGUGAGUACAAUAAUUAGAGCUUGCAUUGAUUCCUGACAUGCCUCUGUAAUUUAACAAUGUAUGUGGUCAAACAACACACUUAGGAGGUGGCAAUGUACAAUUAAGAUCACCUGUGCAAGAGAUGUACAUAAAGGCUUAAGAUCCCCUUAUGUAAAAUGCUUUUGAGUGUUCACACCUUAUAGUUUCUUUCCAAGAAUUCAUGCUUAAUUCUUUUUUAUGUGUAAUCCUGAACAUGGUUGACAAAAGGUUUUAUCUGCUUAUUAAGUUAAACUACUUACGGAAGUAGCACCUUAAUAGUUGAUUGGUG